Molecule: long non-coding RNA, 53957 nt
Filed under: Prunus persica (peach)
Lineage: Eukaryota; Viridiplantae; Streptophyta; Magnoliopsida; Rosales; Rosaceae
Description: long non-coding RNA (PPER_LNC001496)
Source: RNAcentral
AGUUGGAAACUUUCCCUCUUUGUCUGUAUAUUUUAUUGAACUUGGAAAGAAGUAAAAUGAUUUUGGCCAGAAAAAAGGUAAAAAGAUUUUUCAAACAAAAAACGUAUGAGCAUGCAAAACAACAACCAAAAUAGUGAAAAUGAAAGCUUACCUUUUGCGUGCAAUGAAAGCAAGAGGAAGAUUAUGUUUAAGUUCAGAGACGACGAAGAAGAAGAGAGGAAGACGAUGAGAUACUCUGACAGUGCUCUGACAAGGAAAAAAGUCUAAAAGUUUUCUCUGGGAGAUUGAACUUUUUAAUCGGGUUUGAAAACGGCGCAUGUGUAUGUCAGGUAGACGAAAAGUUGCUUACAUAUAAAACCAUUUCAAAAAAAUAAUACGGCGGUUACAUAUAACUACGACGUAUAAAUUACAAAAUACGACGGUACAUUUAACUUCGGACGUGGUAAAUAAAUACGACAGUAGUGUUGUAGGUACCGUCGUAGUAAACUCAAAAAUUAAAGUACAUAAGUAAUAACUCGCGUCAUGGUAGAUUAUUUAACACGUCGUUUUUAUUAAUUUACCGACGUGGAUUUCUGUAAUAUACGUCGAUAAUACCGACGUUGAUUUUACAAUUUAAACGGCGGUUUUUUUGUAAGGACCGCCGUUGGUUUUAAAAAUUUAUUCUAUAAAUUUGUCGCUUUCAUUCAUUUUCGGUUUACAUUUAAGGUUCCAAGUUCUUCCUCUCUCAGUCUCUCACGUCUCAAAGACAAUAAUUUGGAUGUCUUUCUCAAAGAGAAAUUGAGCUUACUCGCAUCAAAUAUAUGUCCACAAGAAGAAGCUUGUCAACUAGCCUUCUCACUUCCUUGAUCAAGCCUGAUAGGACACUUAGUGCUUCUGAAUACUCCUUGCUUUCCAUCAAAAGAGAUGCAAGCCUGGCCUCCACUCGCUGUCGAAGGAAAGUUCGCUUCUCAGGGAAAUCUUCUUGAUUUUCUUGGCUAAGAAGAUCCGUCAGAUUUGUGAUAGCCUCUUCCUUUAUCCGUAGAGCUUCAGAAGAAGAAGAUGGGUUUCAAGAAUGCGAUAAAGAAUAGAAAUGGCUUCAGAUGGCCUCUAAAGCAUGAGCAAUCGAAUCAGUAGUUGUUGGGAGAUAUGAUGAAGACAUUGUCAAUGCUUUGAACUAUACAAGUCCUGCAGAAAGAUAAAGGACCAAACUGUUAAAGAAACUGAAACAAUGGCGGUUUUCUGUUCUACCGUCGUCUUUUCUCGUCGUCUAUAUUAAGGUAAGAUGGCGGUAGAUUUAUAAUUACCGACGUAGAUUAUUUUGUUAAACGUCGUUAAGUGUACUACAACCGACGUGGAUUUUAUUUUUAAAUUAUAAAUAGAGUUUUUUUUCCCCUAUUCUUUCAGUUUUAGUUUUCAAUUACAAAGCGUGAUAAAUAGAUUUUUCUUUCCCGAGGAAAUUUAAAAUGAGGGAAAUUAAUGUUCUAGAAUUUGUAAACUAACACGACGCAAUAUUUGCAAAUCUGUGUCAUCUGUUAAGAUUAUGAUGUGGAACAGAGUUCCAUCUGGUAAGAUUUCGUAACCCUUGGGAUCUCAGACAAAUCUGAUUAUGUCGGCGGUUUUCUAUAUAAAUCGUCGUGGUUAUUUCAAUUCUUGUCAUUAAGUAGAUCUACCGACGUAGGAUAAGAAAAUCAAAGAAAAAAAUUGUUAACAAAAAUUCUUAUUAAGACGACGGUUAAAAUUAAAGGUACGACGUAUAAAAUGAAUAAAUACGACGUUAAAUUUUAUUGUACGAUUUAAAGAUAACGUCGUAGAACUAUAAGAGAAUGACGUCGAUAUAUUUAUAUUUUCCGUCGUUGUACAUUAAUUUAAUACGGCGAUAUUUUGUAUUUUAAAGCCGUGGAUUUGUUUGUAAUUAUACGGCGUCUUAUACGAAAACCUCGUCGUGUUAUUUUAUGAGUAAAAACGGCAGUUUUUAUUGAAAUCGUCGUCUUUACUUUCUACGUCGGUCGAUUCAUAACUUCUGCCGUUCUUUGUUGGCAUUGAUUUUACACUGCGAAAAUCUGUUUCAAAUAGACGUCGGUUGUUUAAUUAUGUACGUUGUUGUUUUUGAACAGCCAUUUGAAUCUCCAUUUUUUAGUUGUCUAAGGUUGUAUUACACGACGGUGUUUUUAGAACCGUCGUCUUUUUAAAAACCACGACGGUUUUCACUUAGACCGUCGUUGUUUUCUGGUCGUCUUUUUCACUUUUUGUAGUAGUGGCAUAUGAUGACGACACUCACAACAAGAUCAUGGCAUUUGACUCGAGUUGUAUGAUUCUCUCUUAAGUGUAUGUAAAGUGUAUGACAUUUACAUCAAUACGUGUAUUCUUAAUUGAAAUCUACUAUGGCAUUUACUCAAAUUAACAAUCAAGAAUCCAUUAAGAUCAAAGAGAAUAUGAGUGUCACAAAAACCCUAAAACAUGGCAUUUGUUAUUAGGAAUUCAAGAAUCGAUUUCUCAUAACUAGUUCUUAACCCAAUUAUUCGUUGCAAAUAAGAACACAUUCAAUAUGGCAAUUGACCUAUGUUCUACAACAAUUUAAUUCCAAUACAUGCUUCUAAGUUAGCUACUCAAAGAAACAAAAUAUCAGAAUUCACAUAACAUAUAGAAACCGAAAACAUCACGCUUGUAGAAACUAAAAAUCCAUUAACCUUGUUUAUAAAAUUGAAAUCAUGUUUAGGGCUUCAAGAUUAAGCCCUAACUAACAAGAAAUUAGUUACUCAUGGUCUUGGAUGAACUCAAAAAUAAAUACAUAAGAACUGAAAAUUAAAGAAGGAAGGAAAAGAAAGAACUCGUUCGCAGCUUUCUCCUCUUGCGCUGUUGAUCUCUUUAGGACGUGAAUCCUUUUUAUCAGCCUUGCCUCGUCUUUUAUAUCACUUAUAUCAGAGUUCUAAACCCUAAAAUUGACUGAAAAGUCGUCCAAGAAGUCUUGGUAAACAAGGAAUCCAAAUAGGAAAGUAAAAAUCACAAUUCCUAACUCCACUGGGAAAUACAGCUCAGCCCAAUGUUCACACGAUUUUGGGAUCUUCGACCUUGUAGAAAAAUCAUUAAAAAUAUAUUUUAGAAAGAUAAAUGUCUUAUCUUUCCAACCAUAUAUAGCACGUAACUUGAAAAAUUCGGAAAGGCUUCCGUUUCUUCACAUUCACGUAGCAUGUACGAAACUGUCCUGUCUGCACGUGGGCUAACUUUACUUGUAAUACUGUACCAAUUGGCUCGGUAGAAAAUUCUAGAAAAAUCAUAGAUUGAACUUCAAGAUGUUAGCUUUCAUCUCCAAUCAGGGGCGGCCUUGGGGAGGUGCAAGUGGCGCCACCGCACAGGGCCCCCGAAAAAAAAAAUAUUUAUAUUAUAUAUAUAUAUUAAUAUUAUAUGAAUCGUAUAUAUAAUAUAGCGUCUGGAUAUUUGCACAACAGCGUGUUCAGGGGAGUUGGAUGGAGCACAUCUCUCUUUGGCAAAAGGGCCCGAGUUCGAUGCUCCUUGAUGUCGUUCUACUGGCUAGCCUUUUGUGAUAUUAUUUUUGCAUUCAAACUUUACAUAAUUAUUGAACCAUUGGAUUAAUAUGCAACGAUGGGUGACCACAAUCUCUUGGACUCCUGUGGUCCAUGAGAUCGGGACUGAUAUUACAUGACUUAUUUUAUUAAAUUAUUAUCAUGUUGAUGAUUGGUUGUAUGAGAAUAUAGUUUGUAGAAAUAUUUAUCUAUUUCUUGUUGGGGUUUUCUUCCAGGUUAUAGGGUUUUGGAAUUUUUCUUUGUAAUCUAAACAUGCCACCUACUAGAAAAUACGUUUAUGGAUAUACAAAACGGCUUAGAAAAAGAAAAUUCGAGGAAUUGACUCAAUCUCAAAGAGGAGCUCUUGAUAGAUUCAUUGUUAGAGAAUCACAUGCUACAAUUGAUGAAAAUAUUUAAAUUUUUAUGAAUUUAAUUUCUGAUUUUCAUUGCAUAUUUAUUGAUGGUGAAUUUUAGUUAUAAAAAAAAAUUGUUUAUGACAUUAAGUUAUGGCAAAUUUUUAUAGUAUUUUCGUAUUAGAUUAUGCAAGGCCCCAAUUUAAGUUUCGCACAGGGCCCUCAAAAUCUCAGGGACGGCCCUGUCUCCAAUUGGUCUUGUGCUAAAAUUCCUCCGAAAAGUUGAUUUUCCCUUAAAAACCUUCUAAGAGUGCAGAAAAGCUGAAAAUCAGAAAAAUAAAGUAAUAAGCCAUUUUUAAAUCUAAUUCUCUUACAAAACCAAAGUAAAAAGAGUACAUAAAUGAGUAUAUUUAUGGACUUAUCAACGUCUUCUUCGUUGGACUUGGGGUUGUUUUCCUUAUAUGUCCCCUAUAUAUAUAUAUGGCCUUUAGUUGAGCCCACAAAUACCUUCAGUUAGUUUUUGGGUUUAGGGGCCUACAGAACCUGCACUAAACAAUAAAAGAAAAUACCUAAUUAGUUUAGUACGAAUUUAUAAUGAAGGCUUUAUUAGGUGAAGUUUUAUUUCUUAAUCGUUAGAUCAAAUUGGUUAGCAUCUGAAGUCGCCCAAAGAUUUGAGAGGGAUUCCACAAACAUAUAAUAUAAAGAAAGAAAGCAAUAGUAGGAGAUGAACCAGUACAAAAAACAAUAUAUAAAUAGUACAUAAUAAUUCCAUAACCUUGUCACAAACGCACUCACAAAUGCUUUCCAUAAACCUUGCCCUAACAUAUAACAAAUAAAGGCAACAUUGCAUAUGAUGCAACCAUGUCCAAAUCUGAUACGUGAUAAAAAAAAAAGGACAUGGCAGCAACAUAUGACUGAAGUAGAUGGGCUCUUUGCAUCUCGUGUUAUCGUAAUUAAAGACAUCAAAAUAUUAAGGUUGAAAUCUUCUAUAGUAGCAAGCAUUAAAAUAGGUUUGAAGCAGAGUUUAAAGAAAAUUCCAAUUCCACUGAUUUGCCUCUGCUCAAAGACGAGAACCAAAAUGGUUACUUCCCUUGCUGAGUAUAUUUGUUAACGUCGGAAACGGUAAUAGAUGACCAAUCAAACCCAAGUACGACGAGUUUUGCAUAGGAUCAGAAGUAGUUGAAUCCAGCUUGCAUCACACGCUUCUUUGACUCCAUUGCAUUAGAUGAGUUUUUGUAUUUUUGAACAGCUACACUCCGAAGUCGUUUGUGUCUACGCUUCAUGCGCUGCAACUUCGCCCUAUCCAGAUUGGCCUGCCUUUUGUCAUCUUCAAUUUGGCCUUCAACAAAUUCCAAACGUGCCCUUGCCCUUUGGAUUUCAUCACCAAGUUGAAGAUGCCUCUCCUUCCAAAAAGCAAGAACUCUUUCAGACUCAAAACUUCCAACAAAAUGGUCAUUCUAUCUAGGAAUGUGACAUUGCUUGUCUGGUGACUCACCUGCGUUUCAAAGGCGGUCUUUGUUUGGAGGGGUGUUUAUUAUGCUCACAUCAAACUUGGUUAGUAAAUCCAUUCUAUGGGGGGAGUGAGUUUCUGUGGAGGAGAGAGUUUCAGUAGAUGGAGACAGAUUCGGUGGAGGAGUGAGAUUUUUGUGGAGGGAGAAUUUCUAUGAAAUGGGUGAUAGUAAUACCAAUAAAAGGGUUCCCGCCAAAAAGUAUUUGGUUGACAAUGUAUAAAUUAAUUUUUGGUCUGAUACAAUCUAAGUUUAAUCCUAACUAGUUUGGUUAGUUUGGUUGAAUUCACUAACUAGAUGUCACUUCCAUUGAGUUUCUUUCAACCACUAUCAGUGGUGUAAGGAGAGUGUGAGGUUGACAUGCUUGAAAAGCAAAACCUAACACCUCUUUUUUUUAAAAUUGAAAGAAAGUACAUAUGUUGACUACACACAAGCUUUGGUAUGUUGGUCUAUAAAGCUAUGUUCCCUUUCUCAAACGAAAUUGCAUAUGCAAUCCUCGUCCUCCCAAAACAAAUAGAAUUAUUCAAGCAUGUCAACCUCUUCAGGCGCCAACAACACAAUCAAAGAUGACAAAUUGGAGUCGCAGGUUCUAUUUCCACAUUGUACUCGCCGACCCCUUCCAUUUUCAACAUCAUUUGGGAGUGAGGGGGACUCCGAUGAUCCAUUAGAGCUAAUACAUGCAGUCAAUAGCAAGCUGGAUUAUAAUUCCAGACUGAUCAAUUCAUGGCGCGAGAAAUAUGUUGAAGACGAAGCCAUUUUGGCUGAUCUUAACAUUAGAGUGAACAAAGCGUUCUCCCAAAAGAACAAGUACUUGAAGCUGAGUCAUAAAAGGAAGCUGAAAGCUGAGGAGUUAGAUACAGUAAUGAAUGAUGAAAUUAAAGGUUGUUUGAUGAAUCAUAUGCGAUGCGAAGAGCACCACAGUGAACUGGAGUUGGCAUUCAACGAAGGAUUCGAAAAAUUACGAGCAUUUGCAGCAACUACUCAUACAAGUUAUAAUUGGGACUAUGUGUCCCCUGAUGUUGUGAGAGAGAUACUAGACGAUGGUGGUGACAUGAAUGAGCAUAAGCACGUCAAAGCUGCUUGGAAGAAGCCGACCGAUACGACUAAGUGAUUGCGGCUACAGUUGUUCAGUUGGUUGAGAGUGAUCGUGGUAUUGCACAAAUUAGAAGUAUAUUCCCAUAAUGUCAUUAUCUAAUUUAAAAUAACACAAAUAUCAGUUUCAUUUGCUUCAUAUUGUAACACCCCGACCCCAAAUUUCCCCAAAAUUUACCCUCAUUUAAUUAAUUAAUUAUUUAAGGGUAUUUUAGUCAUAUUUUUAACCGGAGAGAGUUUGGGACCAUGACUUGUAUUUUUGGAUAGGUCGUACUGAGACGAGUUCAUAGACACGUAGUGGGCUCGAAUCAGAGUUGUAACGAGAGAGAUAUGGUCAAAAGAAACCCAGUGGCACAAUCGUAAAUAUUUCAAAAUGGGAUUUUUAUAAAAAUCUGGUUUUUCUCUCUCUCUCUCUCUCUCUCUCUCUCUCUCCCGCGACUUCUCUCUCUCUCCCGUCGGCUCUCUCUCUUUCUCUCCUUGUAUCUCCGGCCACCGACCACGGCUGUGGGCGGGGCCGGUACCAAACUGACCGGGACGACGUCCCCUUCCUUCCCCGACCAUUCCCCGCCGGCAACGCGGCCGUUGCUGGCCGGAAAAUGCAGAAAACCGCCGGGAGGUCGUCGAAACUUCAACGCCGUCGAUCUCCCUCCUCCGGCCACCAUUUUCGUCGACCCAGGUAUGGAUCUUGAACCUCUCGAGCUGUUCUAGCUGUUUGUUGGUUGGGUUUUGAUCGAUUCGAUCUCUAGAUCACUCGAUUUUCGAAUUGAAAAUUGGCCGAAACUUCGGCCGCCGUGAUCGGCCAUUUUCGGCCACUUUUUGUGGUAGGUCCAAGAACAAAAGUGGCUCCAAAUAGGGUGUUAUACCUAGGGUAGAAGUUUGGAGCCGAGAUGUUGAGAUUUUCCGGCGAAGCGUUAUCGCUUUGGGCACCCACGCGUGCGGCGGCGCGUGGGCACUGUAGAAAAAGUAGAUGUGUUCCGAUGAGAUCCUUAGGUUGUCACGAGUGCGUAGGAUUUGGCGGAUCUCAAUUCGGACGUCGUUUGACUAUCGAACGGAUAAUCGCAUAUUAUGCGUUAUCCGGGUUCGAUAGGUUGAGACCGUCGGAUGGUCCCAAAUUUAAUAUAUGUUGAUCUAGGUAUUUCUAGGAUCGUGUAGGAUUUCACGGAUCGUGAAUCGGAGCCCCGGAUGUUCCGAAUAAUAAUUUAAAGUUUAUAUUUUAUAUUAACCAUCAGAUUAUGCGAUCGUGAGAAAUCCGACCGUCUGAUCUGAACCAAACUGGCAGGAAAAGUGUCCUGUACCUGGUAGAACCCAUAGGGACCUUCGGAUCGGAAAUUGGAGGUCGUGGGUUCCGCAAGUCUGUUUGACCAGGGUUAGAGUAGUUUGACCCUUGGUUGACCGUGAGUCUCCCGGAGUAAUCUCACCCUUCCAGGGGGAAUUAUCGGGAGCUAGACUAUUGUGGAGGGUUACACAAUAUUAGAAUUAUUUAUAUAAUUAUAUAUGGUUGUACAAGGGUACAACAAAGUCUAGAAUGUCAGUUUGGAGUGCUAUACGCACUACUUUAGGUACCUCCUCGGAUUUUGGAUUCGCUACAAGCACCACCAAGUGAAAGUUAGGUCCCGCGUGGCGUAGGUUAUCCGGCGUUGGGACAGACCCCAUACGUGGCGUUGGUUGUACCGGCGUAUGGGGAGAUUUGCAAUAUGAUGUUCAGGUCUCACGUGGCGUAGGUUAUCCGGCGUUGAGACAGGCCCCGUACGUGGCGUUGGUUGUACCAGCGUACGGGGAGAUUAUGUGAUAUGAUGUUGAGGUCCCGCGUGGCGUAGGUUAUCCGGCGUUGGGACAGGCCCCAUACGUGGCGUUGGUUGUACCGGCGUAUGGGGAGUUAUAUGAUAUGAUAGUAUGGCAUGGUCGCACAUGGCGUAGGUUAUCCGGCGUGUUGACAGGCCCCAUACGUGGCGUUGGUUGUAUCGGCGUAUGGGGAGAAUAUGUGAAAUGCAGAGAAAGGAAAUAAGGUAUCACCGAUGUGUGGAAUUGGGUUUUAGGGAAGAACUACGUGUGGCUUGAUCCCUCAAGGAGGGUACGUAGGCAGCCUAAGGUUAUUGGGUGCAGCCGCAGACUAAAUAUUAGUCAUAUUUGGUAUUUGAAUUGUAUGGUAGUUGUUUGAGAAUUAUUGGAAGGCCAAAGGCCAUUUAUGAGAAUUUGCAUGAAAUUAUAUUGUGCAUGCUGCUAGUUGUGGAUAUUAAAUGUGUUUUUAUGCAGGUUGAAAUUUUGGGAAAUGUCCAAUUUAUAGGGGAGACUCUGCUGAAAUUUCGGCAGGAAGUCUCGGUUUUUAGUAAGUGGGCCUGGCAUCGGGGUGAUGUCAGGAAUUCCAAAGGGUUCGUCUCGGGUUUUGAGAAAAUUCGGGGCGGGUCCUUAAACAUAUAUAAUUAUUGGGACUAUGUAUUGCAAGUCAUCAUGUGUUCCUUCUGUCUAACAUUAUAUUUUGCAAAUAUCAAAAUAUUAUUCAAUAAGCAGUCAAUAUCACAGCAAGUUGGGAAUUAGUAAAGCCCCAUUAUCAUGUCCGUUCACAUUAAAGAGCUGGCGUACUUUUUCUCAAAAAACUGACACGUGAGUCAUAAGUAACAUAACAUGUGCUAUACAUUGUUUAGUGAAUGGUUUAUGGUUUAUUUAUAUAUAAUAAAAUUCCAAAUAUUGCUGAAUAUUUGUUUUUUCUAUAUCCCUGGGAACAUGAGUGACCAUAAGCAUGUAAGACCUGUUAAGAAGAAGCUGACUAAUACGACCGAGUGAUUGUGGCUACCGUUGUUUAGUUGGUUGGGGAGAUCGUGGUAUUGCUAAGAGGGAGCACAUAAUGUGCUUUGCAAUCAAAUUUUCUUUUGUGUGUGGAAUUAUGAGUAGUUCAAAUGUUAGUGUACCCUUUAAUAUUCUUCAACCGUUUGAAAUGUGAUUAGCUGCAAUGUACUUUUUUACACGCUGCUUUCUAAUCACUCUGUUCCAACAAAGUGCUUUAAGUAUCCUUCAGUUACAAAUGUUUACAAAAUCGUGCAUCUAAUAACCAGUCGAGCUCAGAUCUUAAUAACAAGUAAAACACUAGAACAUAACAUUCGGAAAAAGUGGGUGCUGCUGGAAAUCAUUACUGGUAAUGGAAGCAAGAGCUGGCUGCUGGAAAUGCUGCAUUAGCCUGUGAUAUAAUCAAUGAAUCUCUGUUAAAACAUAAUUCACCAUAAACUACCCAUUUUACAUGGUAAAAGUCAUUGCUUCUUCACAUAACUCAAAAUUUGAUACUUUAUCAAAUGUCUAUGAAAAUUUCUAAAUAGGGGAAAGACGUAAAAUUAACAUGUGUCCAAAUUUCAUGCAAGAAUGAAACCAAGCAAAUUUUUAUUUCAAUUAUCAGUGGACAUAGUAAGAACUCAUCGGUGGACAUGAACAAAAAAAUAAUAAUAUUAAAAACUGAAUCUAGAAAACUUCACCUGAUCAUUAGUCUUCAUAACAACCGAAUUUCGUCUAAUAGAAACAUAAAUCAUUCAGUUGGUCCGUGCAUCGUGUCAAAUUCAUAGAAUAAUGGGUCACUACGAUCUAUUGGAGUUGAUUCGUCAUUGUUCGACGGUGAUGUCCUGCAUAGACAUCAAACACAAGCACAGAAAAAAUUUACCUAUUCAAAUUUUAGGUGUUAUUAUAAAUAGUGUUAGCAUCUUACGGUGUGUUCAAAUUUCUUGCGCAUUGUCUUCUAUCAUGACCAAUGUGUCCACACUCCAGACAGUGUCUAAUCCCUCGCUUCAUUGCCUUUUCUUUUGCUCCCGUUACUCGUUUCGACCUUCUUUUGCACCUCACUCUCUUAGGGUCUUUCAUAUAUUGUGUUUGAGAGCUGGACCCUCCAACUUCGUUAUUACUUGGUCCAUCCUUCAACAACUUCAACUUCACCUGCAAACUUUUUAGAGUCUCUGACAGUAGCUCACAUCCUUCUUCACUCAUUAAUGCACCCUCAACCACAUCUUAAGCAAGUCGAGACAUUGUACUCCGCCUUAUUAAAAGACCAGGAUCUGCAGAGUCUUUAAUUUCGUUGCCAUUUGCAUCUGACACCAAUUCAGAUUUUGCAGUUUUCUUCCACCUCUUUAAAAUAUAUUUAUCGGGCAUAUAUUCAAUCUGGUCCCUUCUGAACAAUGCUAGGAUGUGCUUGCAAAUAAUUCCAACAAAUUCAAAUCUUUUGCACCCACACGAUGCGUGGUCAGAAUCUUUAACAUAUACGACGUCUGCCACUCUUGUUUCCCAAUUUUUCCUUUUGCUCACGCGAAAGACAACUUUAGAAGCACCCUCUGUUUUGAGCUCUAGGAAACAUGUUGUACUUUGUAUUAGUUCUUGGUCAAACUUUUGAAACAUUGUCCUUGUGUACAAGGUAGCCAUUUGUUUGUUCAUUGGCAUCGGUAGAAUACAUUGAGCCACUUCAAAUGCAUCUACGUGAUCAGCAACUAACUCUUUUUGACGUUGAUGAGAAAGUGCCCUCUCAAAUCGUAUUAUGAAAUCCAUCAACGAAUUUCUCCUUGAUAUGUAUUGCUUGAAAAAACCAUGAGAACCUUCCACUCUUUGGCUGCUUGACAUUCCAGCGGCAAAAAAUUGUUGUGCGUAGGCUGGAACCCAAGAUUCUCUUAAAUCAAACAUUGAACUUAGCCAUGGAUGGUCAGUCAAACCAGCCUUUGUAACCACAAUAUUCCAUUUUGUAACAAACUUAUCCUUAUUGUCAGUAUCCCAUACGGCUUUCUGAAAUUCACGCCAAUACUCCUUAUAAGCAGAAUGUGGUAACUUAACAGAGAACUUUGAUGUGAUGUGCAAUAUGCAAAGUCGAUGAAAUGUAGUCGGGAAGGGUAUUGAAAUCGCUCUGGUCAUUGCCGCAUCUUGAUCUGUAAUGAUCGUUUUAGGUCCGCCACUUGGCAUGGCUUUCUUAAACUCCUCAAACAUCCAAAUAAACGACUCAGUCGUUUCCUUGCUCAAAAAUGCGCAUGCUUAGACAAUUGUCUGACCAUGGUUAUUAACUCCCAACAUUGGUGCAAAUGUCAAGUCGUAUCGAUUCGUGUUGAAUGUGGUAUCGAAUACAACAACAUCUCCAUAAAACCCGUACGCCCAUCUAGAAGUUGCAUCUGCCCAAAAACAUUGACUAAACCUGUCAUGGCCAUCUCUCUCAAUCUUGAAAUAAAAAGCCUCAUUUUUUUUUUCUGUUCAGCCAUAAAAUACUCGGUCACUAGUUCAACAUCGUGGUUCCUCAACUUCCCAUUCACACUACAUUCAAAAUUGUAGAUAUCUUUUUUGAUAAAACCGAUUUUAUCCAUUCCUCCGGAUUGCACCUCGAAAAUACUUACCUUCUGAUGAAUGAGAAUAUUAACCGAACCCAACUGUUUUGUGAGUACUUUUGUAGAAUCUGAACUAUGACGGUGUGAUCUCAAUAAAUGCAUUCUUUCUGAGGGUGUCAUCUUAUGAUUGUGUCCCUCUGCAAAAAGAGAGAUGGUAUACUUCUUGCUCCCAUUUGUCUUCACAACCACAAUCUUAGCUUUGCAAUUGCAUCUACUUAUUCCCCGCUGUCUUUUUCUCUCCCGAGUUUCAUCUCUCCUGUAUUCACCUUGUUUGCAACAUACAAAUUCUUUCCUCAAAAUCUCUUUCUUAUUUCCCCCCCAAAAGCUGGAAUGAAGUCGAAUACCAAAGCCAGCCAAGAAUGCAUAUCUAUUAUAGAAAUUGUAAACGAGGUCAAGCAAGUCGAACUUCAUCCCAACUGCUGGUGUUUCCUCAUUUCUUACUUCAAGAAUGUAAACCCUCCCAUUAGCUGUUACACAGUCAUCACUCUCUGAGCCCCCAGACAUUUUAUCCACGUAUAUUAUUGAUCCACUUCUAUAUUAUUGCAUAGCAAAUAUUAAUUCAUUAAUAAAUCAUUACUGCAUCACAACAUAUCAAUGCAUUCCACUUACACAAAACAUUGCCCAAAUUGACACAAAACACGCAUAGCCUAACUUGUUGGAUUCCGAUUACACAAAACGCAAGCAAAAUUUAAUAAUAGUUACGUCAUCUCUUGUGAAAUAAUCUAGAAAAAAUAACAUUAGAACCAACAUGUUCAACUAAGAACACAAAUGCAAUUCAAACCAGCAAUCACAUAACUUCACCCAAUAUCCUCUCCAAAUGCUUACUCCUAAUGUCAUUAAGCCUAAGUUUAGGAUCUUUUACCUACAUUUCAUAAUUUUUCACCCCCACCAAAAAUAAUCAACUAAGUAUACUGAAUAUUCAUAAGGAAAUGACGCAUUAUUGAUGCCACAAAUGACGAAUUUCCUACCCUCACAAAAAACAAAUCAAACCCAAUUAAAUCAAUCCAGCAAGAGUGAACUUACCUCUCAAAAUCAAUCGGGAGCUCCGAAGUCAGUAAGCUUGAGAGAAUGUGGUGGACAUUAGAGAAGACUCUUUGGUAUUGGAGACUCCAUCUCUACCAAAAUCGAGGAACGAACUGCUGCUACGGCGUCUAGCUACAGAAAAAGAUAUGCUACUUUACUUUCAUCUGGAAUCUUGUUUGCUGAACGAAAAAGAGAAAGGGUUUUCACUUGAGCCAUAGAAUCAAAACAAGGCAACAUCUAGGUAAGAGCCAUUAAUCGUCAUAUCGAGGAUACCAUAGAUCGCAGGCCUCCCAAGGAGCUGAUGACAAUGGAGCGACUAUAGGGUUUGGGAGCUUUGGAUCCUUCUAAUUGUGGGUUUGCGUUACAUUCAAAAAAAGAGGAGUGUGUUGUUGAGUUUUUCACAUAGAGGGAAAGAGGGAAAGAUCUUCAACUGAAGUUGGGUUUCCAACGGGUCAAAUUUCAACCCGGUUCUACAUGCACCCUCUUUUAAAAACUCACCGUUGGAUUUCAUCCAACGGCUCGUACAUACCCCUCAAAAACACCCCUUAUAACUUUCCACUCACUAUAGAAGCUCUCCCCAGGAAAUGCUUCGAGGUAGAUUUUAUGUUUUGGGCCUUGGGACCCAACUUCACAAAAAGAAAACAAAUUUGACCAAAAAACAAAGUUGAAGGACAUUGAUAUUGUACCUGUAGGAUAGGUUAAAACACUAAAAGGAAGGUAAAUAGUACGUUUACAGAGUUUAAGUGUAAUAAAGGAAUAAAAACAUGCCCAGAGAAUUGAUAAGUGAUAUCAAUUCUUGAAUAUAUAGAACGUAAAAUAAAGGAAUACGUAGAAAAUUAUUUUAUGUGGUAAAACUCAAUCUAUGGGGCCACGGGACUUCUUAGUCCAAAAAAAAUCCAUUGAACGAUGAUUACAAGAAGUACUCACACACUUAUCCUAGACACAUUCUAGAUAAUUUUUACUAACAUCUUUGUAACUCAACUUCUGUCAUAGGAUGAUUUUUUGACACUCCUUAUGUUGAACGCAAUACUGGUCACGAUUUCUUCAAGCUCGCAGGAACUCUCCUUAUAUUGAAUAUGAUACUAGUCACGAUAGAUUCAAGCUCAUCGGAGAAAAACAGCCACAACGGUCUUGGUGCCCUCAAUGGUAUGAGUCACUGAACAUGCAAAUAAAUACAAUAUGAAUGAUAAAAGUGUUUGAUAAAUCACCAAGUUAUGGAACACUUGAUGAUUUAUCUCAAAUAAAAACUCAGCUUUCCAAAGUUUAUGAAUUGAAAAUAUGAUCGUUAAAGCUCUCUAAACAAAGAAGACGAAGAUCUUAUUUUAUAGAAUUUUUCUUUAUAAGAAAGAAAACACAUUGAAAACCAAAUCUCCAAGGCUUGACAGAAAAUCACAAAAGUAUCUUUCCUAUUCUAGAGAUUGGUCACAUGUAGUCCAACCAAUAGGACAUGAGAUAUUUAAGAAAUGAAGAUUUUGAUCAAUAUCAAUAUCAAAUGAAUUCUUAUACGCCUAGUCAACUAUUAAGGGUAUCUUGACUCCUUGAUAUUGUGAUAUGAUUGAAACAUGAUUUCCACGUUAGAAAAUUAAGGGGAUGUUAAAACAUGAAAGUAAUAGGAGAAUCAAAUUGAUUUCGGCCAAAAUUGCCUAAAAAGAAAACACUCCUAAAUAAACUCAAUUCACUUUUAAAAACAGUAAAACGUGAUUGAAUUGUUCUUUAAAACAAUUCCCUAAUAUACAUGCAUGAUAAUGACAUCACUUACCUCUGAAUCAAAUGCCUUUCAUAGGUCAAGCCACAAGUCUGUGUUUUGGGGAUUGCUGAGCUGCAUCAAUCCUGCCAAUGUCAAUGCUGCCCCUAUGCUCUCUCAAAGCACGUUUACAACCUAUGCUAACAUAUACCCUAAACCCUAGUAUCAAGAAAAUGCCAACACUAAUUUCGUAACACGUAGAAAUUGUUAGAGAUUGGAAGUUUUUUUUCUUCAAGUCUCUCCACCACUCACUAAUACAGAUUGCUCAUGUGAUGAGUUUACAAAACCUAUUUCUCUACUCUCACAAAGACUAUACUUCUUCUCAAAAGACUAUAUCACUUUACCUCUAUCUCUGUGAAAUGUAAAAAGUUGAAACUUUAAUGUCAAACCUCGACAAAAGAUGAACUUCCAUAAGUUACGUUGAAUUUGGAUUUGUUGAACUUAAGUGGUUUUACUUUUCUGUCAGUGUUUGAUGACUUAAUUUGGUAUUUACUUCUUCUUUUUUUCCUUGGAAAUGUGUUCCACCAACGUGAGGAAGAAAAAUAUGCACAAAUUAAUAUAUUUAAUAGAAGCCCAAGAUUUCGGAAGCACAUAAUUUCUACAAAAUUCUACAAAGUGUUCUACUUUACAAACUUCAUAUGUCUACCAAUUUUUACUAAAAUUAAUUUAUCUGCAGUGCUCAAAUUCAUCAUAUGUGUGUCCUUAAUUUUAGUGAAAAUUGGAAGUUUCCAUUAUUUUUGUUUUACGGGAAUUUUUUGAACCAAGGAAAAUCAAGUAAAAUUAAUAAAGCAUAAAUUGGAAAGGGAAAAUAUCUAGAGGAUGCAUUGUAGGAUUGCUCAUGCCAAUAAUUGUACCCUCUAAAUAUAUAGGGACAUAUUUUUUUUGCUCAUACCACUUGUUGCAGUACACAUUCACCCGUUUUCAAAGAAAGAAAUUCUACCAAUCGAUAAUGUCUCAAAUUUAAUCACAUAUUUUAUGGACCAUCCAGCUAUGAGGUUUUAUCUCAAAAACCUUCGGUACAUUUCUCCCACAUGCCACAAUUGUAUAUUCACAAUUACGUCUGAUACAUCACAUCAUGCCACUUGCCUCAAAUGAAUUUAAGUGAGUGAGGCAGUUGGAAGUAAUUAAGCUCUAUAUUGGUGGGUGGAGUGUUAGUUCUGGGUACCCCUCAUCAUUCGUCUAUAAAAUGGUGAAGCCAGUUGCUACUGUUACCAUAAGAGCCAGCUCCGACUUUCUUUAAUUUCUUGCUUCAUAUCCACUAGCUACAUCUGUUGCUCUUCUCAGUGUAAGCUCUGCAAUUUGAUUAACUUUCCCAUUAUCUCUCACUGUACUCUAUAUAAAGGAAUAAGUGUCGUCCAUUAAUUCUCUCCGAAAGUGUCGUCCUGAUUUUAAUUAGAGUUCGAAUUAAUGUUGCAGCUAGCAGCGGUUGCACUGGCAAACCAUGCUGCUCAACCGGUACCUCAACUUUACUGGAACUCCGUCCUGCCAAACACACAGAUGCCAAGAUCUAUCAGUGAACUUCUGCAUCCUGGUUUGUGUUUGAGCACUUUAGAAUCUUAGAUAUCUCUUCUACCUGCCAUUUUACUAAAAUAUGUUCAACCACAUAUUUAUCAGUUAACUACUGUCAUUACAUGAGUGACACAUAUUCACAAAUCGGCUGAUCACUUAUUUUCCAUUAUGACGUUGAUAUAUAAUGUUGGGAAUGGAAAGCCAAUUGACCACAAGGGAAAACCUGAAAAUACUGUACUACCACAGCUAGCACGAAGCCCAUUUUCUUACAAGAGUGAUGUGGGGACCAAAUCUCAUGUAUCAUAGCUUAACCCAUAUGCCACAACUAAAAGACGUGGGAUGAUCGAACAGCAUACCCACAUGGUCAUGGAUCUCUUCAGAUAAUCAAUAUUAAACAACCCAUAAACUUCUCCCUUUGAAGAACAAAUUAAAACCAAUUUCUAGAGGAAGGUUACAAAACAUUUUAGCCCGUGAAGAACAAAUCAAGACAAUAUAACCCAUUUGAUAACAAAAUCAAAAUGAGAUUUACCAAUACUAGAUGACCACGGCGCCAGUAUAAUGGUACGACGGCGGCGUUAUUGUAACGGUGGAGAAGUGGAUGGUAUGACGACGGUGUUAGUGUGACGGUGGAGGAAACGAUAUUAUGAAGGAGGCGUUGCUAUGUUCGGUGGAGGAGUCGUGUGUUUCACAGUUCAAUAUAUCCUUUUUAGUCAUUUUAUAUUAGGGUAAAUCAGUAAUUCAAUAAAUAAUUUGAUAGUAUGGUGUACUCAGUUAAUAUUAGGGUUCAUUUAACAGCACUCAAAUUAACUAGUGUAGAGUCUAUCUAUAUUAUUAAUACUAAAAAUAAAUAUAUGACUAAAUAACUCAAAAAAAAAAUAAAUCUACAAUCUUUUUUUUAAAAAAUUUUUUUUAUAGAAUUUUAUUAGAUUAAUAGGCACUACUAAAAAAUCUCCUUAUAAACUACAAAUACACGCAUAACUUAUACUAAUGUGAGCUACUGACACCACCUGCCACAUGACAGUUGUCCAAGCAUAGUGUUGUCAUUCAUUAUUCCCCACAGCAACUAACAUCCAAUAAAGGGUUGGGGCCCACCCAUACUCCACCUCUCUGUAUGUAGCUCUUUGAGAAUACAGAAGAAAUAUUUUUUAGGGAAAUAGCUUAAAAUGAUACCCAUUUCAUAAUUUUAAUUAAAAAUACCACCCCUUUCCAAUUUUUGUACAACUAUCACCUAUAAAUAUAAAAUUAUUGUCCACUUAUUGCUGAUUUUUCACAAGUUCAGAAAUUUUGGAAAGAAGAAGCUCACACAGCUCUCUCUCUCUCUCUCUCUCUCUCUCUCUCUCUCUAGCACAACUCUCUUUCUUUGGUAUCUGUCUAUCACAGCUCUCUGUGUCUCUCUUGGCUCUCUCUAUCUUGGCUCUCUCUCUCUCUAGCACAACUCUCUGUCUCUCUCUUUGCUCUCUUUCUCAUAGCGCAGCUGUUUCUCUCUCUAGCUUCGUUAUGUCUCUUUCUCCCCUAUUCGAUCUCUUGCUUUCUGUUUGGAAUCGCGAACCCCUCCCUUUAGCUAUGUCUUCUGAAUAGCUGCUUGCAACCUUGAAGCUCUAGUGGAUUGCCGACCUCGAAAAGGUAGUGUUGAUGGUUAUUUUCUUAAUAUCAGUGGGAUUAUGUGAAAUGGGUUAUAGUUUGAUUGUUUGGGUUUGUGUUAAAUUCGUUUUGGCUUUAAUUUCUUUGGGUUAGGUUUUGUUGAAUAUUCAUACUCAUUCAUCUGGGUUUGUACCAAUUGCAUUUAGAUUGGUCUGGAUAUGUGAAUCUUGAAACUUGGGAUUUUCUAUUUGAUGUAGUAGAUCUGUAUAGUGUGAUUCUGUUGUGUUCCUCUUAUUUUACAGUCGUAUUGCUGUUAUAUUGUCAUUAUAUUGCUUAUAUAUUGCUGUUAUAUUGUGGUUAUAUUGCUAUUGUAUUGUUUGGUUAUUGUGGUUAUAUUGUGUUAAUGAAAUGUUGUUUUGUCAUGGUCAGAAAUGGAGACAAUUGUUAUUCUCGUGUGCUACAAUGGAAAAUGGGUCACCUCGAAGAAGAUGUGCAAAUACGAAGGGGGUGACUCAAAAGGCUUAAUAGUUCCACGGACCAUCAAAUUUGUUGAACUGUUGGACCGUGUGCAUUAGAUUGGUAAUACAAACAGCAGGGAAGACAAGGUUUGCUUAAAAUUCUCAGUUUUGGUGGCCUCGAAUGAGUGGAAGCACAUAAAUAUUGAGGACGAUGAUGAUAUCAAUUUUUUUAUGAAGUACAAUUCCGAGGUAACACCUUCAAAACUAGCUCCCUUACUCGUGAGUAUAGAAGAUAAAGGAUUGACAAAUGAUGUAGUUCAUAGUAUGCAUAUCACGACAGAUAGUAGUCGGAUGGGUCAUUCUUCAGUUGCCAUUGUUGAAAGCAAUGAAGUAACUUGGAAUAAUACGAAUGUCACUGAUGUGGGAGGUGAAGUAGGGACAGAUUUUGUGGAUAUGAUUGAUUUUAGCGAGGUGUAGGAGAUGCAUGGUGGUGAUAAUAGUACUGAAAGAAAUGAAGUGUCAGUGUACUCUGCCCCUCCUAAUUUGGGCUGCUUCAACAUAGCUGCCCAGUUGCCAAUAAUGCGUUUAGGAGGAGAAUCUGAACCCACUCGUCAACAUUAUUGGAGUCAAAUAGGUGAACAAAAUCGGUACAAUGCAGCCGGUGUAAAUGAUGAAGAAGCAUAUUUGGACAGCGGGUUUUCACGAAGUGAUUGGAAUCCGAAAAUUACAGUUGGGCAAAUUUUCUCUAGUAAGAAAGCAUUGUUGACGGAGUUACGGUUGACGGCAUUAAGAGGCCACUUUGAAUUUAAGGUGCAAUUCUCUUGCACUAAAAGGUUGCUUGUGGUUUGUUGUCAACGUCCAUGCCCAUGGCGGGUCCGAGCAUCGAGAAUUGGAGAAUACAGCUUCAUGAUUGUGAGGUGUACAACUGUCCAUGAAUGUGAUUUGAGGUUCGUAAGUGACAAGCAUCGUCAAGCAACCGCAGCACUUGUAGCCACUUCACUUAAAAGGAAGUGACAUUAUGAGAGAUGUGAAACACAACUUUGGUUGCACCAUCCAUUAUUCGAAAGCUUGGAAAGCAAAGGAGUUAGCUCUAUUGUCCAUUAGAGGAUCAGCGGAGGAGGCAUAUUAUAUCCUUCCAGCUUAUUGCUAUGAAUUGGAGCGUAUGAAUCCCGGCACAAAAACACACAUCCAAACUGAUGAGAACAAUCACUUUGUGUAUUUAUUUAUGGCGGUUGGCGCAUGUAUUAGAGGGUUCCGUUCUUCCAUGCGCCCAGUGAUAGCCGUGGAUGCCACUCAUUUAAAAUCCAAGUACAAGGGUGUUAUGUUUGUAGCAAAUGCAUUCGAUGGUAAUUGAAAUAUAUAUCCUCUUGCUUUUGGGAUCGGGGAUUUGGAGACGGAUGCAUCAUGGCAUUGGUUUUUCACUAAACUUCAUGAAGCCAUUGGUGAGUGUCCCAAUCUUGUUAUUAUUUCUGAUCGCAAUGUUAGCAUAGAGAAUGUGUGGAACAAAAUUUUUCCAACUGCACAACGUGGCAUAUGCUUUUAUCAUAUGAAGGGGAACAUGAAACGCACUUGCUAGUUGAAAAAGCGUGAUCACAUACUUAUGCACUUUGAGCAGGCUGCGAAAUCUUAUUCCAUUGCUGAAUUUGAUUGUCAUUUUUGCAAGAUCAAGCGAAAGGAACAUGUUGCUCAAUAUCUUGAAGAGACAGGGUUACAUAAGUGGUCUAGAGCUCACAUGGAUGGACGCCGCUACAAUGUAAUGACAACAAAUAUUGCAGAGUCAAUCAACUCAGUCCUUAGGUUUGCAAGGAUGCUGCCAGUGGUUCAUUUGAUAGGGGAAAUUGUUAAUCUCCUUGUGAAAUGGUUCACCGAACGUUGUGAGUUGGUUUUGAAUUGCACAACAACAUUGUGCCCCAAUUUUGGAGAGAAGAAGUUGAGGAACAGGUUGGAGGAUGCUGCAAGGAUGAAUGUGGUUAAAGUAAAUAAUGCACAGUUUAAUGUUUUGGACGGUGAUAUGGACGGCCUCGUAGAUUUGGCGAACAGCAGUUGUAGUUGUAGAAAGUUUCAGCUUGAGCAGCUACCUUGCAAGCAUGUAGUUGCAGUUUGCCGCUUCUUGAAAGUAAAUGUAUACGCAAAGGCUUCUCGGUAUUACACUCAGAAAACCUGGAUGAUGCUUAUUCGGAUAGCAUCUACCCGGCACAACCUCACGGAAUGUGGGAUAUUCCUGAAGAUGUUCGAAGUCGAGUUGUGCUGCCUCCCAUGGCAAGGGUCAUGCCAGGCAGACGAAAGAAGAUCAGAAUUCCCUCGCAAGGAGAGGGCACCAUUAGAAGAAAGUGCUCAAGGUGCGGUUCCGCAGGCCACAAUAAAAGCACAUGUAAAAACAAUAUUCCAUUGCGCAAUGUAUCUUAGACAAUAUGAUUUGUGUUGCUUUGGUAGGUCAUGUAAACUCUACUUUUAUUUGUGGUGGGUUUCGUGUUAUGUUGAAUGGGAAUUCUUUUAAAUUUGCAUAAUUUGGGUUGCAUUGCUACAGCAUGCUGUAUUGCUGACAGAUUGCUAUUAUAUUGGACUUUUAUUGUACUGGUAUUGCUUCCAGAUUGCUAUUAUAAUUUGAGUGCGAAAUUAAAGGGACUGGAAUGUAAUUCCAAAUGGAUCCAAAUCAUUAAAGUUCUUAGAAUUCCUAUAUUACACAGUUACUGUGAUACUCCGACUAUACCUUCUUUUAUGAUUACAAAUUCGGCCAAUGCAUAGGCCAGAUGUGGGGCAAAUACAAGGUGAAAUGUCCUAUGUGUUUGACUACAUAUACUUGUUGAAGGAGCAUUACGAAUGCUAACCUCAAUAGAUUGCUCAUGUCUUGCCAAGAACACUCUUGAAUUUAUGCAAUGUGCCCAAGCCAGUCCCAAAGCUGGACUCACCCGUCUGCCUGAUGUGUCCAGGGACUCCAAGUUUCCCAACCUCACCUCAUUCACUUUAUCAUGUGGCCCAAUAAAAUCCACCACUUGGUUGGUGACAACCACCGCCAACCCAAACUUAUUUGCUAAACCCUUCAAUGUCCCAGAUAUGUUGAAAAAUAUUUCAAACCGCCAUUUCAAAUCUGCUGGUGUUGUCUGAUACUGUGAUCGGAACAAUGCAGCAAUGGAAUCAAUGACAAUGAGUUUCACAGGUAGGUGGGUGUGAUCAAUGGCAAUAAAUGCUUCUAUGUCUCCAAGGACAUGGAUGAGUUGUUGAGCAUCAUGAACACCAUGAACAUAUAUGUCUUCCAAUGGCUCCAACCUUAUUAAGUUGGGGUAUGAUGCAUGAUAAAGGUUGCCUAGUUGUUGCAAUCGACGAAAUGGGAAGCUGAAUUCUGUGAAUAUGUAGACGGUGGAGCCCUCUAGUCCGCCAUGUGAGGGUGGGAGCUGAGCUGGUACCGUAAGUUGGAGACAAAGUUGCGUCUUCCCAGAACCACUCUCCCCUACCAAUUCUGUUAUAGAGUUGCAGGGUAUCCCACCCCCCAAGCAGUCAUCUAGUAUUGGGCAUCCAAUGGAUAAUUGAGGGGUUGAAAGAGGAAGGAGCAUGAGGUUUUAGGGUGUCAUAUUUGUGUAAUUUAGGGGGGGAUGUGAUGGUGCUACAAGGCAUGCAUUAUAUAUAUAUAUAUAUGUAGAGUUCAUUUUGAAGGUCUGUAUUGUAGGCCAUAUGUCUUUUAAGGGAUGUAUAAUCCAUCCUUUUUUCAGGUUGUAAUUAAUUUUUUGUUUAUUUAUUAGUAUUUUUUUGGACCAAAUAAUUUAAAAAACAUUAUGAUGCAGUACGUACUGUAAUAGGAUCAUAUUGUAACUCUAUCAUCACUCUAUUGUACUCUUAUUGACAUAAUAUUGCCGUUAUAUGCAUGUUUAUUAUAUAGUUAUUACUGCUAUAUCGCCACUGAACUGGACACCGAUAAACUGUAUACGCACAAAUACAAAAAGAGGCUUCAUCAUUCCAUAAAAUCCUAUUUCCAAACUUACAUAAUACAACAACAGGCCACCCCAUCGUUACAUAAUACAAAAAUACGCCACCUCAUAGUUCCAUUUCCCUACUGUUGACAAAUUCGAAGUUGCAUACUCUUCAAGUGCGGUGACCGCGACGCAUGAAAUUCAUGACCCCGGCCACAGUGAUGUUGGCCUAGUUUCCUGCCGGAUCCACUAUUUUUGCAAACUUACGAAAUAGUUCGAAUCCGCUUUCCACUUCUUCUUGCUUCAACUUGGCCGUUGCUUCUGAUUCCUUGAAUACCAUAAUUGCAGUGGUAGGGGCAAUUUCAAUUUUUGCUUUCAUUGUCUUUAUAUGUAGGAGAUGCAUGCGCGCAUGAUAACGAGAGCGAAUUGUGCGGUUUUUUAUGACACCCCAUCUAGUUUGGCCCUCCACAAUUUUGAAACUAUGUCUGCAUGAAGAUUUUUCCAAAACAUGGUAUUGCCUCGACAUUGCUGCAUGCCAUGGACCAAGUCUGCAGGGAGUGAAUUGGGUGACUUGGCUUGUGUUUCAGUCUUCUCUCCUUCAGUAAUUGAAAGUGUUGGGUGUGGUGUGAGGUUAUGGUCCAUGGUCUUCGAUAUUUAUUGUAGCCUAGUGUACAACUUAAUUGGAAAAAAAGGGGACUAAAUGCGAUGGGAGUGAAAUCAGUGGGGAAGGUAGUGGCUGUAAGCAGGAGUUAAUGUGAUGGAAGUUUUCAUUUCAAACAACUGGGUUGAUUAAUAUAGGCAAGUUUUAAUGACCUGGAGUAACUCAGAGAGUUAUUGGUGGGAGGGAUUAGAGGGAGUAAUUGGCGGGAGGGAUUGGCGGGAGUCUUAGGCGGGAUAGUAUUGGGCGGGAGUUAUUACCCAGUUGACUGUAUGCCUUUUUGUAAUAUAUUUGUAUGUUGGACGUUCCAAACUUGGUAAUUUUCCCAUUAUGUAAUUCAAAUAAGGGAUUUGCCUAUUUGCCUAAUUGACCAACUCAUUCAAAUUGACCAAUAUGGUUAUUGUCUUAUUUCUCAUUUCAGCAAUCUCAAUUCGUUUCCAUUUUUCCAUUCUUCAUAUUUUCCUAUUUUCCAUGUGUCAUCCAAUUUUCCAAUUUUCCAAUUUUUCAUUAUUUUUGCCUAUUUUUUCCUAUUCCCUAUUUUCCUAUUGUGCAAUUUCCCAAGUUUCCUUUUGUUGUAUUUCUAGUUUUCCAAUUUUUCAAUGUUCCCAUUUUCCCAUUAUGUAAUUUAAAAAAAGUUGCCUGCUUUGCCUAAUUCAGAAAGUAAUUAAAAUGGUCCAAUAUGGUAAUUGUCUUAUUUUCCAUUUCCACAAUUUCAAUUCGUUUCCAAUUUUCUUAUUUUCCAUGUGUCCCUAUUUCCUAUUUCCAUUUUUCAAAUUUUAAGUUUUUGUCCAAUUAUCCAAUUAUCUUUUUUCCAAUUGGACUAUUUUCUAAGUUUCCUUUUUUUCCUAUUUCCAAUUUUCCAAUUUUUCAAUUUGCUAACUUUCCUUUUGUUCUAUUUCCAAUUUUGCUAUUUUCCAAGUUGCCUUAUUUCCUAUUUUUCAAUUAUCCAGUUAUCCAAUAUUCCAAUUUUCCAAUUAUCCAAUUUUCAAUUUUCCAAUUUGCGAAUUUGCCUAUUUUCCAAGUGUCCUUUUUUCCUAUUUCCUAUUUCAAAUUUUCCAAUUUUCAUGUUUUCAGAGUUUCCUUUUUUUUUCCUAUUUUCCAAGUUUCCUUUUGUCCAAUUUCAAAUUUUCCAAUUUUCCAAGUUGCUUUAUUUUCCAAUUACCCAAAUUUCCUAUUUUCCAAGUGUCCUUUUUUCCUUUUUCCAAUUUUCCAAUUUUCCAAGUGUCAUGUAAUCCUAUUGCCUAGUUUCCUCUUUCCAAUUUUUCCUUUUUUCCUAUUUCCAAUUUUCAAUUUUCCAAAUUUCCCAAAUUUCCAACUUUCCAUUUUUUCGUAUUUCCGAUUUGCCAAUUUUCCUUUUGUUCUAUUUCCAAUUUUCCAAGUUUCCUUAUUUCCCAUUCUCCAAGUUUUCACUUUUCCUAUUUUUCAAUUUCGCUAUUUUCCAAUUUUCUGUUCUGAAAUUCGCAAUAAAUGCUUAGUUACACAGUCCUAUUUUGGGUUGAAAUCCACAAUUUUCAAUUUCCCAUUAAGGUUUGCUUUUUUGUCGUUUGGAAGCCAAUUUUAUUGUUGUUAAUGUAAUGUUGUACUGUUGUAAAUUACAGCCAAUGAGUUAAUGAUGUAGUUUGCAAUCCCAUCAAUUGAAUGCACCAACUAAAUACCCAAUAUACUUCAUAUAAGUUCGUACAUAUAACUCAACCUUCCUAUACAGAACUGCAACAGAGGCACCUUCUUAACGGGAAAGGUAAUUAGUCUUACUAAAACGCAAAUAUUCUCCACUACAGCUAACCAAUUGUCGUUUACAACUGGAGACUGAAUCUACCUUUAUUUGUUUUGUUGCAGGCAACAGCUGUGAAUUGUCCCCGGCAAUACUUAAAGAUGUCGGAUGUACGCCCUCCAAAUGAGCAUGUCACAGUUACCCGGGGGACCAGCCGUGGCAUGUGCCAUUCCCAUCUCCACCUCGGACUCCCAAUCAUGAUCCCACUUCAUCUGGAAGUGAGGCUGAGAGCAAUGAUCCGCUUGACAAAAUCUCUGCCGUCAAGCACCACCUCCAAUAUAUGUCAAAGGCAACGGAUUGGUGGGAGAGUAAGUGCGAUAUUCAUGGCCAAGUUAUGGGAAACUUGGCCAACAAGUUGAACAAAGCAUACGCUGGAGAGGUGAAGCAAACUCUAAAAGCAAAAAGUCGGAGCAAAGAGUUAGAGUCCUUGAAGUUGAAAUUGGAAGAGAGAAAGAAAAAUGCUGUCGAAAAAUUCACACAAUCUGAAGAAUAUAACCAUGAAAUGGUUGAAUGUUUCAACAACGGCUUUGAAAUGUUCCGAGAUUAUGCUUCGGUCAUCUCACCAGACUACAAUUGGAGUGAAAUUGAUGUAGCUGGUGUUUGGCAGGUGCUGAAUAUGGGUGCUGAGGGAAUGGCUCAUCAUAGCCUCGUGCAUGCAGCAAGGAGAAAGGACAAAGACUUGGAUCUUUUGAUGGACCUGUAGUAACAGUGAGUGCUGCUUCAGUUCAACUCACCUGAGUACAUGGAUCUUUUGUUGCCUUCAUUUUCCCUUCGCAGGCUAGUAUUGUUAAGGUUCGGUGGCGAUUUCUUUUGCAUGUGUAAAAUGUUGUCUGUAAUGUGUAUGUAUUGUAUGUAGAUUGACUUAAUAUUGUAGUUCUAUUGUAUGUAUAUUGCCUUAAUAUUGCCUUUGUAUAGCAUAGAUAGUGUAUGCAUAUUGCCACCGUAUUGGAUGUAUAUUGUAAAACUAUUGGUAUCGUAUUGCCCUUAUAUUGCUCUAAUAUUGCCUCUAUAGUGCACCUAUAUUGACCUAAUAUUGCUCUUAUAUCGUAUGUCAAUGGCAUGUGCUCUAAUAAGUCUCCAGUUCGUUGAAAGUAAUCCUGAAUUCAAAUAUGAUGGACAAGACAAUUGUUAUCCAUCCUUAUAUUACCAUGAAUUGAUUUGGACCUUUCAAAUGAUAGUUGGAGUUGCACAUGGAUUCAUAUUCAAAAGGAAAGUAAUUCUCUCCCUCAAUGAAUUGUCGUUCAAAAGAAGGCAGCUAUCAAAUUUUGGGUACAAAAAGGCAACAUCCACGGUAAAUUAAUUGGGCACAAACCACAUAUUACAAAACCAGGAUGAUUUUUGGCAUGCUUCAAAAGAGAAGGGCCAAAUACAACAGAAAAGAAAAUCCAUUCAAGCUUGUACAAUAGAAUGCACAAUAACCCUUUUACAUGUCCUUCCAACACCAGUGUUUUGCCUACUUUAGAGUCGCAGGAGGAGAGCUUAUUGCCAUUGUGCAAUUCGAGGGGGCAGUCAAUUUGGAAUGGUGGCAUAAACAUGUUUACUCCACGGAUCACCUAUAUGGGACAGAGCUUCCUUCUUCCCUUGUCGUCUGUAGGUUUCAACUUCACACUUUUUAUAUACAUGUAUGAGAACUUGUGGCUAUUUAUUUAUGGCCUUCUAACACUUGUUCUGCCAUUCCAAAGUGGGUUGGAGACUUUUUGAGUUGAAUGACUGGAAAGACUUCAGAUGACAGAAACUAGAGAGUUUGAAGAAAAAGGGUUACCAAGAACAGCAGUCAUGCCCACGACAUAAACUAAACAUGCUAUAAGCUCCACAGUAAUAUUUACUUCAUCUCCAUAAUCAGAAUAUUGGGAAAAAAAUACCACGGAGAAAUACGUGAAAUGAAAAACAACUCGGCAGUUACUGUGAGAUUGUGUACAUAAAACUUGGAACAACCAAACCAAUUAAAGCUAAGCCAUCUCAUACGUAUACCUACAUCAAAUAACAGUGUAUGGUCAUCUUGUUUAGAAUAUUGCAAUCAACACUUGGUUGAGACCGACCUGCAAAAACAACUGGGUUAAGUACAGAUGAAGCCAUUUAUGAAGGGCAGUUCCAGAAUUAAGACCUACGUUAAUUUGUAACUGCCACCGAAUCAGUUCAUAGUGCCAAAUGCAUCUACCAAGCACACAGAUAUGACCAGCCAAAAGAAAAAAAAGCAAAGUAAAAAAGAUAAAAGAGGCAUGCCAUAAAUGGGAACCUCAGCAGAAAUCAUCAGAUAUGCAUACAAGCAGAUUGAGUAACAUCUCACUAAGUAGAGGUCAUGUUGGUAAUCGCAUGUUGUGUUUGCACACAGACAUUUGGUUUUUGCAAACACAACAUGCAAUUGCAUUCCAUGAUGUGUGUGUUGUGUUUGCACACAGACAUUUGGUUUUUGCAAACACAACAUGCAAUUGCAUGAUGUGUGUGUUGUGUUUGCACACAGACAUAUGGUUUUUGCAAACACAACAUGCAAUUGCAUAUUGUGUGUGUUGUGUUUGCACACAGACAUAUGGUUUUUGCAAACACAACAUGCAAUUGCAUAUUGUGUGUGUUGUGUUUGCACACAGACAUUUGGUUUUUACACACACGAUAUGUAACAUUUAGUUUUACCCUUUUAUUCUUAUUUUCUUCGUUCAAACAUGGUGGUGAGAAAAGCACCAAACCAUCCCAUCAUAUAAAGCAAAACUCAUACAAUAUUUUAGAUGCAAAAGUUAUAUAUUUUAUAUAAAUGCAUCAUCCGCAUGGCUUGAAAUUACAAAUUCACGUUCACAUAUUACUUUUCACAAGCGCACAGACUAACAAUAAUAAUAAUCAACCAAGUAGUUGCGACAUUCAUCCUAUUACGUCCAUAUUGAUAAUGUCAGAAGUUUCAUCGAUAAGCCUCAUCAAACUACAAGUUUUUUAAUUUGAAUUAUGAAUUCAGAACUAAAAGCUCAUGAUAUGCAGAAAAUGACAUACAUUGUCCACAAUCGACUUUUCGAUAUAUUUCUGCUCUAGCAAUUUAUCGUCCAAAUUCUGGACUCUCUGUGUCAGGUGCUUCUUUGUGUUCUAUCCAGCAUAAGAAUAUUUAAUAGUGUGAUUUCAAUUGUUUAUACAAAUUCUAUAAGUAAUAUUGAUGAGUGCUGUAAAUCUAUUUGAUAUUGGGAACAAACAUGGUCCCACUAACAGAAACUCAAACAAAACAGGAAUUUUUUUUUAUUUUUUUUGGCAUAGACAGCCGAAAAGAAACUUACAGCAAUAGCCUCUGUCACGCUCUCCAGACGUUUAUGCAAUUUUGAAACAGCAGCAUUCAUACUACGCUUUGUCACAUACAGAAGAUCUGAGAAUUUUAGACCCUAACCAUUUGUGAAGAGCAAAUAUUAGAUUUGCUUAAAGAAGACAACAACUCACAGAACCAAUGGAUGAAAUAAUAUGAACAUAAAUAUAUCAUUUGGAUACCUUCCACCACAUGUAACCAUAACCCAAUGCCCCCAAGGUAGCUGUUGGCAUUAUUAGUGAUGUCAAACCUAUUAAAAAAAUCAAAAAAAAAAAUAUAACCAAGUAUAAAAUGUUUCUAUUGCAUUAUGAAAUACAUACGUGUAAGGAAUUAAUCGUUUUACAACUUAACCAAAAAGUCAAGGCAGGAGCAUGCAUUCAUUGAGUGGUUAUAAGCAAGAGGAAAAAGCACAAAGCAUGCUAAGAAUUCAUUUGAACACAGAAGAGAAAGUAAGCUACCUUGGAAUUUGGCUGUCAUUCCCCUUCAGGACGGCUCUCUGUAGUGACGAGUCUAGUUGUCGGACCUCAGCUGCCAGUCGGCGCACCUAAAACAAAGUAACACAGGAAAAUUGAUAUCCAUUACAAAAAACAAAAAUUGAACACGAGAAAGCAUCCUUCGACACUAAAUUUAUAGCAGUUUUUCCAAUACCUGUGAUGCGAUCGCAUAAAAGUCACCUUCUGAUUGUUCUCCGGUUCCAUUGAACAAAGGCUGCAAACAAAACAGAAAUAGACACAAAUCCAUCAAUUUUUUGAGCAACAAGACACAAGCUCCGAAAUAAAUAAACUAUCUAACUGAUCAAAACCCUAGUUUACCAAAUGCAUUACAAAAUUAAAAACUCAUACAAAAAUAACACCAAAUACAAAUGUUCUGCGAGUUCCACUAGCAAAGCAGAGUACAAAUCAUGAAAAUGGUACCUGAAGUUCACCGAUCAAUUCAGAUAAUUGACCAUUCUUACGCAGGAUGGUGCUCGUAUACCCUGUAGAAAGAGAACAAUCACUCAGAUCAAAUGUAGCUAAAUACACAAGGAAACUAAUCCAGUAUGCAAGAUGAAAGAGGAGUGAUUGGUACCUACUCCAGCGAAGAUCAGCAAACACAGUAUGAGGUUCCAAAUUCAAAUAACAACAUAAUGCUAAGCAGAGAAGUAGAAUUGCUGCCGAAAUUAUUUAAAACGAACUAAGUCAAAACUAAAUGGAGAAAUGUUAACAAAGUUGUAUGCUUCAGUAAGUCCAGUAACAGAUUCCCAAAACCACAGAGACAAAAUGUGAACAAUGGCUACAAAAGCAUCCAUAAAGAGCAACUAUGUUUAUAUAUGGAGGUGUACAAAAUAGUUAACCUUCAAAAUCGAAACAGUGUGUGUGCCAUGUAAGGCAAUUAGCCACUGCUUCUAGACUAUACAAUAUUACACCUCACAAUAAUAACUAAACCAACUAGCUCUAGCAAAAAGGCAGGAUGACCAUAUAAAGUACCCCCAGCAAAGCAUCUACGUCUGCAUCUUCAUAUCAAGGAGUUCCUGACAUAAGUAAUGAGCAAAGUGAAUUCCCAAGUCAUAAGUCCAGAAUGAGGUGAAUUCACGGACAUUAAAACAUUUACCUCAUAAAUAUGCCUCCCCCCUUAAACCCUCAAUUGCAAGCCUCAGCCGGUAAUAUUUGAUCUUCAAAGGGUCAACUUUAUCUACCGAAAUCCCAGCACUGAGAUGCUCGAUGAAUUUGACGGUCAUGAUUCCGCAAGACGUACUGUGAGACCAAUAAGUUGGGAAAUUAGAACUGCAGUUAUGUAAGAUUUGGAUAAACUGCACUAAAUUCACAAAGCUUACCCAUCUCGUUGUUGUGGCACAUCUGCAAUGCUGCAAACUGAGAAUGGCGUAAACGUCAACAUCUUCAGCCCCUUUUGCUUAACCUUUUCAACCUCAGAAUCUUCAUAAAAGUGCAUAUCGUACAGCACUCGUGCCAGCGUAUCGCUAAUAGGGUGCAGAAGUGUAACCAGCUUCGAACAUUUGGUAAAAGCAACAUAUGAGUCAUACACAGUUGCAGUAUGUCAGACGAAAUCAAUUUCGAUUGCAACCCAGUAAGACCCUUUAAGAUUAUAUGGAAUAUAGACCUUCCGGACUUUUGUCCAAGCUUGGCCAUACCCGUGUUGCCACGUACCGCGUACAAAGUAAUGUAUAUUCUGCAGCUUGCUGGGUGGAAGGUCAACGGUGUUUGAAGCAACUGCCUUCUUCGAUCCACGUUUCUUGGCAGUCGGUUUGAACGGAUCUAGAAAUUGCUGCAUAAAUUGAAAUGAAGGCAUAUUAGAAAAUCACAACCGAAAGCAAAUGAAGCAGCGAAUGUAACAUGGUAACAUGUUUACCUGCAAGCAACAAUCUGCUGUUGUCCAGUCAGUUCCAAAUACCAACGGAUGAGAGAGUUGCCUUUUCCAGAUAAGAAAGGUUGCCAUGUCCAGGUGCUGAAAGUUGACACACAUAAUAUCAGCACAAUUUCAUACAACUGUACACUUAAAAAAGGUGAGAAAACAAUUUAAUUAUCGCAAUAAAGUAGAGCUUUGUGUAUUCUUACCCUUGAGCUAAUCCAUUCCGUUUCAUCGAUAAGUCUGUAGAAAAAAUCAGCGCCCACUGAAAAUAAUUCCAGCUGCACCUCCGCACUACAAAAGGCAAACUUGCAAUGGUUACUUUUAUAGUCAUCUCAUAAUUCUGACUUUGUUGAUGACAAAAAUACACAUGUAUAUUAAAGCAAACUCUACGUUUUCUCAUUAGUCUAUGACUACAUACUAGAAUAGGAUGAAGAUUGGAAUUCAAAGGUAAAGAAUCCUAACCUGAUAUCGUUUUUCCAGGCAGUACAAAACUCUAUUACUGCCUUCACAUCUUCAAUGGGCACGGAUUUUGAUGGAUCAAAACAUGGCGGGGUUGCAGUCGCAGCCAACACACUCAUCGUCCUCUUCUUCCUCAAAGGAUCAGUAAAUGGGCUCAACAAUGUCUGCGCCGGGCGCUUCUGUCUGCACCCUUUACCUUCCACUUCUUUUUUUUCCACACUCGAACUACCUUCUUCAUCACCAGCCAUACUAACUGUGGGUAGACUUGGAGGAUUCAUCGGACCUCCCGAUGGCAUACUCUUAGUCACUUUCCAAUCUUCUAACAGAGACAACACUUUUUGGCAGAUUUCGUCACACCCGGCCACAUCUUCCGGGGUAGGCAGCUUCUCGGAUUGUGCCUGCUCAGCUGCUUCAUGCACUUGUAAGUGAGGAACUGAAGCGGCCAUUUCUGCCUCUUCGACUACCAUGGCUGCGGAAGGUUCGGCUCCAUCACCGGGAACUUGUGUUUCCAUUACCGCCGGUUCUGUAGGCGGACUAACAUGGUCAUGUAAUGGCGACAAGUGAUUGUCGCCUCCUUCAUUCAUAUGAGGACUACUGAGGUCCUCAUGUCCUUUCCCACCUUCAUUCACCCCACCAUUUCGUUUUUUCAGCUGCUCUAUCUCCACAUUAAAAUAAUGCUCCAUUAAAGCCAGGGUGUUGCGGAAAUCCUCCACACACUUUUUAUUUUUUUCGAACUCUCUUUCAACUUUCAAUGACUCCUUCCGUACCAUGUCUUCCAACUGAUGCACUCUGUUGCGAAGCGCUCGAUUUGAUAUGGCAACUUUGGCCAAUUCAUCCUUUGUCCUUUGAAAGUCACGCUUCAAAGUGCGUAACUCUCUGGACGCGACUGUACCCUGCAUUCAGUUAUAAUGCAAGUGUUACAAUAUUUUCAAAAUAUAUUGCAACAAUACAGCAGUUAUUUUCCUAUUGUAUUAUGACGUAUAUCUUGGAAAAAAAUGUAAUGCUUGCCUUAGAAGACGACGGAAGGCUAGCAGUUUCGUCAAUGUCCUUAUCUUUUUCUUCUACAGAGGCAGAAGUGCUGGUUUUUUGUUCAGCGUCAUCGCCAAACAACUGAACAAGUUCUUCAGUGUCGUCAACACUGUCACCCCAAGUCCAAUACGGCUGCUGCUUGUCGAUUACAGAUGGCCGGAGAAGUUGCACAUCAACCUGCAAUUUACACAUACAAUAUACAUAUCAGUAAACUUAUUAUAUUAUAUUUUCAUAUGCCUAACAUUAUCAUUAAAAACUUAACUAACCUCACGGUUCUCGAAUACUUGGCUCAUUAGCUCAUAAAAACACGGCGAACUAUUGCUCCUCCAAUGUAGUAAACGAGGGAUGUAGGCAUUAUCUUCGUGCACCACCAAAUGUAGUGCAGCCAACGCUGGAAAAACCUCAUAAGCCCAAAUCUGGUUUGAGGAAUAAAACGUGAGUCACUGUAAACAAAUGAAAUUUAACUUCAACAUGAAUGGAAAUUUGCUCACCUGAAGUGCAUAGGCAAAACCUUUGAGGUGGUACUCUCUUGGUCUACCAGUUGCCGUUGUUUUUGCUUUCUUUUCAGAUUUUUUUGUUUUUGCAGCUUUUUUGGGCACUUUCACUCGCUGGUAAUCUGUACAAAGUGCCCUCAGAAGUGACACAAUUGUCUUGGCAUAACACACAGCACCCCAUGGAUACUUCCCAAACUCUUCAAGGUCUUCCACCAACUUCAAAUAUCGCAUGUCAAUCUGGACAUGUUUUUCACUGCCCAACAGCACAAACACAGCAAAGUAUACAAAUCUGAGCUUCAAUACAUCGUCCGCAUCAACGCAUUUGAGGAAGGCCUUUUCUAAUUCCAAAACAUUGACAGUUUUAUAGUUGCCAAAGUACUUCCUUUUCAAUGAGCAGUUCUCAUUAGUGGGAAUCGGAAUAAAGGGAAGGUUUCCAAACCUUAGCCCUGUCACGAUGCAAAAUUGCUGCGCCGUGAAUUGGAUCACCUUAUUGCCAACGAUGAAUUUGAUCCCGUUGAGUUGGGAAACUGUCUUUGGAUCAGCUUUCCUCAGCAGCAAGCCGUGGACAAUUGGCGAAGUCCACUUGAGGUCCUCAAUCAGUAGGAGAUGCCCAAAACAACUCUCUUCAAACCUUUGUAGCUGUUGUUCACUGAAUUUCUCCUUUAUCGUGCUGAUUGCAGUCUUCGUAUGGGAUAGGGACAAUGCUUUUCCUUGGAACUUUUCUUCCUCUGCAAUCAUCAACUUCAUUUGAGCAACCAUCUUUCCCUGCAUGCCAAUAUUAUAAAAAAAAAUUCAGUCCGUUGCAAUCUAGACAAUAACAAGCAAUAAACAAUCAGCACUUAUCUACAGCCUAUUAUAGGAUAUUAAGUGAAAACAAAAAAACAAAAAAUACAGGGCAUAAACAAAACCCCAGCUAUUUACAACUGACCUACUAAUUCAAUAGCUCAAAGCCACAUCCCAAGACACCCAGUACUCUACCACUCUUGCAUAAUAUAAUAUCUAAAGACACAUCUCAACACACCAGAUAAUCAUGACACAGCUUCAGCUAGAAUGGGAAUGUGCGGUAGCACAAGCCUAAUUGAGAACAAUUCAAGACUAACGAUAGAAAUCUAUCUGACUAGAAAGAGUUUUAAAAAAACAAGAAGACAUCGGGAAAGAAUUGAUUGACUUCAAGGUAUAAUGUAAUGGAACAUCCUAUGAAUUAGUGGCAACCAUAAUAAUGACUCCACUAUGGCCCUCCUUUCAAAUGUAAGAAAAUGAAUGAAAUUGGCACCAUCCCUUCAGUUUUUUCUUAACAAAAUAAGAGAUUUGUAUGUAUUCUCUGCUUUAUCGAUAUCAAAGAUAAAUUAAUAAAUAAACCAUCAAAACUGUAUAAAAUGUUUGUUAGACAUGUACAAUUACAAAAUUAUAAGUUCUCCUCAGAAACAAAGUUCUCUAAGUACGCAAACAAGAAAAGCAAAAGCUUAAAGAGUUAGCUUAUAGCAAAAUCAAUGUCCCCAUUUCUCUAAACCACACCUGCUGGUGGUAGGUUCCCAUCUUCACUCAUUUCCCGCUUUCUUUUAAACAGACAAUGAUCAAGCACAAAAGAGCAAACUUUUAAAUAACUCAUAUUACACCACAAAUAGUUCUAAAGAAAACUUAUUCAUAUCCAAUAUGCAACCCCUAAAGUUAGUAAACAGAGUUAUAAAAAAAUAUGUCAAAUUAACAAGCAUUAUUCUCAAACAAAAAGUAUGAUAUGGUUGGGAGUUUACAAGUUCAAAAUGAUAUACACAGGUUAAUUGUCUUAGACUUUAGAUAUCAUCUUCAACAAAGAAAAUAGAUACCGAUUAGACUUGUAAGAAGGUUAAAUGCAAUGGUCAUAAAGACCCAUAGUAAGCCACCAAAUACCAAUCAAUAACUGCUAUAAAAACCAUAAUAAAACCAUAAUAAACUAAAAAUACAACAGCACUAAAAUGCCAACACAACAUCACUACAUUAGCAAUAUAGUAGCAACAAAACCACAAUACGACAUCAAUAGCAACAGCAAAACAACAGCAGUGCAAGCAUCAGUCCACAAAGAACAAACCCAUUCACUGUUUCAAACAAGGAAUCAUCAUACUAAGAUCAUUUCAGAGAAACCCCAAAACCAAUUUCAGUGAAACCCCUAAACCAAUUUCAGAGAAACCCCUAAACCAAUUUCAGAGAAACCCCUAAACCUUCAACCAAUUUCGAACAAAUCCCUGAACCAAUUUCAUAGAAAUGCAUAAACCCUAAACCAACUUCAAAGAAACCCUAAACUGUAAGAAAAUGACGAUGAACAGUACCUGUUCAAGGUGAACGAUGGAGUUGAGCUUCGAUGAACAAAUUUCGCUCGGAGAGGAAGAGAGAAGAGAGAGUCAGAGCUGAGCGACGAGAGAUUAAGGGCUGAGCGACGAGAGAGUGAGAGCUGAUCGACGAGAGAUGAGAGAGUGAGAGCAAAGUGACGACAGAGUGAAGAGAAAUUGAGAGAAGGAGCCAAGAGAGAGAGCUGAGAGAGAACUUCAGCAAAACUGAUAGAGAACUUCAGCAAAAGUGAUAUGUGUACAAUAAGGGGACAAUAAAUAUAUAUUUAUAGGUUAUAGUUCCAAAUUUUUUUAAAAAGAGUGGUAUUUUCAGUUACAAUUAUAAAAAUGGUGGCAUUUUGAGCUAUUUCCUUAUUUUUUAUUCAACAUGGACGCAGAAACUGUUGCUAAACUGCAAACUUCUUAAAAUAUUUGUCUCACUUUCUCAACCCUAUAUUUGUCUAACUUUCUAGAUCCAUGUACUGAGAUUUAUUAGGGAAAUAUUGUAGAAACUGAUUAUUUUGAAAUAUUAAAUGUGAAAAACUGAACAAAAAUUUGAUGGGUUACAUAUUUCAACUCAUUUCAGCAGCUUAGAUUUUGAAGACCUCGGAAGAGGCCAUGCAGUGAGCCUAGCUAGUGCACUGUUGAUCACUUCAGUGUCUACCGAUCUGUAAUUUUUCCAGAUUGGUUAUAUUUUCCUUUACAUAUUCUUAUAUUAUUCCCAGCUGUAAGUGUUUUACACACUUGUCUAUUAGAAAAGGGGAGACUUAUAAAUAAAUCCAAAAUGGGUACAGUAUUUAUAAAGAAUGACAAAAUUAAAGUGUUUGGGCAAUAAUGCCCUUAUUCAUUUUGAGAUUGCCUAAGGAAUAUUUUUUCUGAUUUUCAGAAGAUGCCAAAGGACCGUUGUUUGAUGAUUGCCGUAAGGAGCUAAGAAAACUUGCUUUGAUAGUUUUGGACAGAUGCAUGCUACUGUUGCUGGGAUGAUCUCUUCACGUGAAAUGAGGAUGAUGAUGCUUCUACACUACACAAUCCAACGAAUUCACAUGUCUAUUUCAGAUACAAGUAUAAACUAACAAGGCUUUAAAAUAUGGGCUGAUGCACUGUUGUUGAUGUUGCUGACACUGUUACUGUGUUGUUGAUACUGUCACUGCGUUGCUGUUGGAAAAAGCACAAGGACUUCACAUGUUGCUUUCGUCUUUUGUGGAGGAGAGAGACCUAGGACUUGCAUGUCUUAGAUAUUUAAGAUAAGGGGCUUUCGUUCCAUUUUGAAAAUACUUUGGGUGUUUUUGAAAGGUGAUUGUUUCUUUUGGGUUUCUCACUAAAUUUCGCUUUAGAAGGGAAAAUAAUAAUAAUAAUGUCAAACAAAGUAGGGUAAAUAUUCAGAUAUGCUCAUAUUAUUAUUCUUCUCCAAUAUUGAGGUAUUUAUACAAGUACAAAGAUGUGUUAACCCUAAAUAAAAUAGGAAAUAUAUCUAAAUUAUAAUAGGCAGUAAAUCUCUAUUACAAUAGGACUAAAUAAUAAUUGGUAAGUAACCAAAAUUCUAAUGAAAUAAGGAAUCAAAAUCCUAACUAAGUAAGGACUCGCCAACACUCCCCCUCAAGUUAGGGCAAACAUAUUUCGCAUGCCUAACUUGACAAGCGAGUCAUAGAACACCAUACUUGAGAAGCACCAAUUGUAGAGAAGGUCUUUUCGUCAACCACGAGUGAAACAAGUGACAAACUAAAGCAAAGUUCGCAGCGGAAACACAAGAGCGAAUCCUAAAAAAUAGGGCACAUAGCAGAACACAAAAAUCCUGGAGCACGACAGUAGAUAAGGCAGAACACAGAAACCCUGUUAGCACGGCAAUAGGUAAGGCAGAAAAAGUCAAGAGCAAAGGCAAGGUCAACAGGCGUGACCACAACGAAAACACACCAGCAAAGACAUGAGCAACAAUAUUAGCACCAUAAUAGACAUGAGCAACAAUACUGGUACCAACAACAGCAAUACAAGGCACUGGCACCAGCAAGAGCAACAAGGCAUGGACAUAACAUGCAUAAUCAAUAGUAAUCAACAUUGUCCCCAACAAGAGUCAUAAUAGGCAUGAGCAAUAACAUUGUCCCCACUAAGAGACUUAACAGGUAUGAGUAACAGUACUGGCACCAGCAAAGGGCAUAGUAGUCAGCAGCAAUAACAAUGACAAAUACUUCUAUUAUUGCAGAGACAACUUCUCUUCACUCCCCAUCUCCCCUUGAAGAGAAGGGGUCAUCGGAACCAUAAGAAAAGUGGCACUUAAGAAACAGAAGUUGACUGACGCUCAAAUGUAGAAGAAUCAGCCAUGGCAAAUAGGUAGCUGAAUUGCAGCGGAAUAGAUGAGCAGCGGUGUCACUCCCCCUCAUAUCUGAUAAUGUAUGAGAGUCGAGAUUUGGAGAAAGCAAUAUCGAAAAAUAAAGUUGCAGAACCCAAAUAAAGUUGCAUCUAUCUCCCCAUCAAAUCCGACACUGGUAAAGGGUCGAGAUUUGAAAGAGGAGAAAUUGAAAUAAUAGUAAAGAGACUCAAACAUGCAGUCUCAUGGCAGAAACAAAUGCAAGAGGGGAAGAUGGUAGCAUACGGUUGUCCCAUGAAGAAAAAACUUCAGAAAAGGAGAAUAGUAAGGGAGGAAACCUAGCAAAUCAUGAACAGAGACAAAGACAAAGAUGCUCAAACUGAGAAGCGGAAAGGCAACUCAAGAGAGCAACCGAAGAAGACAGAGGCCCGCAGAACAGUCAAAGUUAAGGCUCGGCGAGUGGUGACGAUGCUCGCGGAGGAAAGCAACGGCUCGGUGAGCGGUGAUGAGGCUCACGGAGUAAAGAGACUUGUUAUGAAGUUUCAAAGAUAGAGAAGCUGAGACAUCAAGAAAGACCAUCUGGCAUACAAAGAUGAAAAAUAAAAAUUUUGGAACAGUAGCAAAGAAGCAUGUGAAGGCUGGUGCGGUGAAAACACAUAUGAAAGGAUGAACAAAAGAAGAUGACUAUACAAGAUGAAGACCCAUGAUGGGUUAGGAAUGAGGAGUGCCAACGACUCUCAAUUUGGCAGAGGUUAUCGCAGGUUAGGAACCUGGCUCUGAUACCAUGUCAAACAAAGUAGGGUAAAUAUUCAGUUAUGCUCAGAUAUGCUCAUAUUAUUAUUUUUCUCCAAUAUGGAGAUAAUUAUACAAGUACAAAGAUGUGUUAACCCUAAAUAAAAUAGAAAAUAUAUCUAAAUUACAAUUGGAAGUAAAUCUAUAUUACAAUAGGACUAAAUAAUAAUUGGUAAGUAACUAAAAUUCUAAUGAAAUAAGGAACCAAAAUCCUAACUAAGUUAGGACUCGCCAACAAAUAAUAGUACAACUCUUAUUAGCAACAGGUUACAAACUUCUUCUACAACACACCAACAUGAAUCUAGCCCUGAUCCACUCUUUUACAUACUUGAAAACAAAACAAAACACGAAAAACAAAAAACAAGAAACAAGAUAGGGAGAAAAUGGCUACGGAGAGACUUCCUGCUAAUCAGGGGCGGCCCUGGGGUGGUGCAAGUGGCGUCACCGCACAGGGCCCCCGAUUCUUAAGGGCCCCCAAAAAAUAAUUCUUUAUAUUAUAUAUAUAUAUAUUAAUAUUAUAUGAAUCGUAUAUAAAGUAUAGCGUCUGGAUGAUAAAGAGACUCAUUAUCAUUAUCUUAGUCAUAAGAUUCAAAAUGAAUUGAUACUUUUGUUAGCUUCUGAGCUCAAAAGUGCAAUCAUUAAAAAGAUUGAAGAAGCUAAAUAUUUUUCUGUGAUUCUUGAUUGUACUCCAGAUGCUAGAAACCAAGAACAAAUGAGUUUGAUAGUAAGAUGUGUGGAUGUCUCUACUAAUUCAAUAAAGGUUGAAGAAUUCUUUUUGGAAUUUUUGAUUGUGAAUGAUACAACAGGACAAGGACUUUUUGAAGAGUUGCAAACGGUGUUGCAAAAACUUAAGCUUGAUAUUGAUAAUGUGAGAGGACAAGGCUAUGACAAUGGAUCAAAUAUGAGUGGGAAAUAUCAAGGUGUCCAAAGAAAAUUUUUGGAUGUAAAUCCUAGAGCAUUGUACACACCUUGUGGUUGUCAUAGUCUUAAUUUAACACUUUGCGAUAUUGCAAACUCUUGUGGAAAAGCAAAAGAUUUUUUUGGAAUCAUACAACGUAUUUAUACAUUGUUUGCUAAUUCUACAAAGCGGUGGAAGAUAUUGAAAGAUAAUGUUAAACACUUAACUCUGAAAUCAUUGUCAGUUACACGUUGGGAAAGUCGUAUUGAAAGUGUGAGAGCAAUAAGAUUCCAAGCUGCAGAUUUAAGAGAAGCUUUACUUCAGUUAGCAGAAAGUGACGGUGACUCCAAAAUAACAAGUGAAGCUAAUUCUUUGGCAACAUAUGAACUUGGAAAUUUUGAGUUCUUAUUGGGCAUGGUUAUUUGGUAUGAUAUAUUAGGUGGUGUCAAUGUAGUGAGCAAAAACUUACAAUCUGAAGACAUGCUUAUUGAUGUUGCUAUUGAUAAAGUGAAAGGGUUGAUUACUUUUUUUUUGAAAAGUAUAGAGAAAAUGGGUUUACAGAAGCUAUGUGUACUGCUAAAAAAAUUGCUACUGACAUGGGAAUUGACCCGGUGUUUCCUGAGAAGCGAAAAAUUCGUAGAAAAAAACAUUUUGAUGAGAAUACUUGUGAGCUAUCCCAAUCAGUUCCUGAAUCAACUGAAGAAAAGUUUAGAAUUGAUUAUUUCUUGUAUUUAGUGGACCAAGCUAUUGGUUCUUUACGAAGAAGGUUUCGACAAUAUCAAGAGUAUGAGAAUUUUUGGGUUUUUGUUUACUUCAGAGAAGUUAAAUUCAUUGGAUGAUUGCGAUUUGAAGAAUAGUUGCAGUCAUCUGGAAAGCAUUUUGAAAAAUGACAAGUUUUCUGAUGUCGAUGGGGAGGAUUUAUUUGUUGAGUUGAAAGUUUUACAAGAGCUUUUACCAAAAGUAAAUACCACAGCUACUGCAAUAUUAAAUUUCUUGAAAAGAUUAAAUUGUUUUCCAAAUGCAUUCAUUGCAUAUAGAAUCCUAUUGACUAUUCCUGUUACUGUUGCAUCUGCGGAAAGAAGUUUUUCAAAAUUAAAAUUGUUAAAAUCAUACUUGAGAUCAACUAUGUCGCAAGAAAGAUUAAAUGGACUAGCUUUGAUUUCAAUUGAAAGUGAACUUCUUGAAAAACUUGAUUAUGAACAUUUGAUUGAUGAUUUCUCUUCUAAAAAUUCAAGAAGAUCAAUUUUCAGACAUUAGUAUUGUACUAGCUGUGUUUUUUUUUUUCUUCUAGGGUAAAAGCUCUCAUAAUAAUUUUAAUUCUUCAAAUAAGACAGCAAAUACAAUGUGAUGAAUUUUGGAUAAUCAGGUAUGUUUUUGUUGUUGCUUUUGUGUUUAAUGCAAUAUAAUCUAAUUUUUUUAAUGACAUUUGUGUGCAACUACUCUUUGAUUUGUGAUUGCCAAUUUUUUUUUCUUUCUAUUAAACACAGAUUGCUUAUUGGAGGCAGCAAGAGACCUUAUAGGGGCACAAGGAGCUUAUUUUUGUACAAAACAUUUAACUUUAUCAAAUGGAAACAUUUAAAUUUUUAUGAAUUUGAUUUCUGAUUGUCAUUGCAUAUUUAUUGAUGGUGAAUUUUAGUUAUAAAAAAAAAAUUGUUUAUGACAUUAAGUUAUGGCAAAUUUUUAUAGUAUUUUCGUAUUAGAUUAUGCGAGGUCCCAAUUUAAGUUUCGCACAGGGCCCUCAAAAUCUCAGGAACGGCCCUGCUGCUAAUACUUGAUCAAUAACAGAGAUAAUAGAGCACACUGUUUGUAUGACAAUGAGUAUCAGAAGAAUAAUAGCUGCAAAGAGAGAAAUAGCUGCCCAAGGUGUGUUGAAAUACUUUUGUCUCAAAUUUGCCUUCCGUCUGUUCGUGGUCUUCUUGCAGUACUCGUUUAGUUUGCCAGCAAGAUCACCAAAAUAGUAGUUUCCGUGGUUCGGAGCAACUUUACUGCAAAGCUUGUUAAUCAUAAUGGAAACCUUAUUGUUGUCACCUAGCGUGUUUACAACAAUUCCAUUGUCAACAAGCAACUCUACAUCCUUUGGGGUGUUUACAAAUUUAUCCAGGAUGAAAACAUAAUCGCUUAUGUAUUUAUCCACGCAAUGGCCUUGUUCAAAGGCAAUGAGAUUUCUAUGUGUAAGCUGUGUAAUCAUGUAUUUCAAUUUUUGGAAUUUCCAAGGUGUUUUUCUUGAACUGUAUAUCGAAUAAGUUCUUGCUUGAUCCCACGUUAAACUUAACUCCGGCCUGGUGUAGUUUUGUCAUGCUGGGUGUACUUUGGAGCCCUCCAUUUUUUUUUCUUUUGGCAGAUGUAAAGUUCUAAUAAAAUCAACAAAAUGUAAAGGUUUUUUAGGAUCAGGAGGCAUAAAAGACUUACGGAAGGCUGGUGAGUUCUCCAAGUUUUCUAAACGCAGUGCCUGUUGGAAGAACUUGUAAGAGAGUUCAAUUAUUGAAGGCUCCCCAGUCUGAGCACCUGUGAGAUUGUAAAGAUCCUCGAGAAUGAAAAAUGGCAGCUGAUUUACGAGCAUAAGCAUGUCAGGCAAUAUAUUUUGUAGCACCCAUGGUUUUUUAAAUAUCCAAGCAUCAUCAUCCUGCAAUUUUUCUUCCUGAAAUUUUUCUUCGGAUUUAUUCCUCAACAAUAGCUCAAUGACAAAGGCGGCAUCAACUAGAAUGAUAUUCACAAAAGUAGCAAUGUUAAACUUCUUAGGGCUAGUUUGGCGGCGUUGUGCUUUUAAAAAAAUAUGCUUCUGCUGUGCUGUGAAAAUAAUUAGCUGUGAAAAAAAGCUACUAGGCGUUUGGUAAACUGUUUUUGAAAAACUGCUGUGAGUAGUCAAAGUGUUUGGUAAAUUUUUAUCAGAAGUACUUUUAGUGUGUAUAAUGACCAAAAAGGACAUGAUGAUGAAAUUGUUUGUUAUUUUCUUCAUUCUUUUUCUACUUUAAAAAAAAAAAAAACCCAAUUUCACUACAUAAAUUUUUAUUCUUUUUUAAUUCACACCUUUUUAUCAAAAAAUUUAAUCUACAAUUAACAUACAUAUUUUACCAUAAAUUAUAAAUUACUAUUAUAACAAAAGUAAUUCUAAAUAUUGUUAUAUUAAUAUGGGCUUCGGACAUGACAAAAAUACAAAAAUUGUUCAAUUUUAAAAUGCCCCAAUAGAUCACUACAAUAUAAAAGAAGCUAAUUAGAUGCAUUCAUUAAACUUGUAGCGAUGCUAUUUCUUAAUGCAUUCAUUAGCUUCUUUUUUUGGUUUCCAAUGGUUCUCUAACAAUUUUAACUAAAAAAACAACCAUAAUGCUUUGUGAACAAUAAAUUCAAGUCCAAAUCUGCUAUUGCCCACACCAUACAUAUAUACAUAAUUGUUCCUUUCAUAAAACUUGAAGAUUCAAUAGUAAUUACACAGUUUACCAAUCUUGAUUCCAACUAUAUCCAUAAAAUUAAACUAUAAUUAGAAAUAGAGGAGCUACAUGUGAUUACUCAUAAAUGCUUCCCACUCUCAUCAUCAUCAUCAUCAUCAUCUUCCUCCUCUGUACUUUGCCUUUCACAAAUGGACAAGACCAGAUGGUAACGUACACGACAUGGUCCACAUAUAGAUAAAUUUUGGGUUCACUGGAGAACAUAAAAGAGUUUUUACACGAAUACAAAGUUAGUUAAGUAGUGAAUAAAGUAAAACUAUUCUGUACAAUUCUAGCUGAUGCAGUCCAAAAAGAAUAUAUGUCUAAUAACUUAAAUAACAAUAAAGAGAAACAAAAGCCUCAUGAAAAAUGCUAGAGUAAAAGUUACAUAACUGAAUCGAUGGACAGAGAACUCCACAGGCAGAGAAACAGCAACAAAAAUUGUCAAAACAGUAGCAAGACCAUGUUGGAGUCAAGGCCAAAGAUCAUAUUUCCUGUGUAUCUUCUUCCAUUCUGAAUUAUUCUCGUAUUCAAAUACUGUAACUCUAUUUCAAGUGCACCCCAAAAUACUUAUCUAAGGCCAGUACAUAGGACUUCAUAAAGGGUGCGAUAAAAAAUAUUGCCCCUUAAUUGAUAAACAGAACCAAGAUCCCAACAGCACACCAAAACUAUACCAACCACACCUACAUAAUAUGGACAGAAAAUCCUGUUGUUCCGAUCUCUAACCACACCAAUGACAUUCAUUAGGAAAAUACAAAAGAUGGGUACCCUGCAUUUCUAACAUUUAAGAUAAAAUUCACUGCCAGCUAAUCACAAAUUUGAAAAGAUGGCAAGAAAAUUGGCUAAGCUUUAACAAAAACCAGAGCAGUCCUUGCAUAGACCUGACUUUUUGCUCCAAGCUUUAGCAGAUCACUUACUGGUAGAGAGCAGAGAACAUGUAUGUGAAUAUCUGAAGUUGGAAGGGUAAGCCAUCACAAACACCAAGAGAUCUGAUUCUCAUCUCUUGUUACAACAACAAAUCACAAACACCAAUACAUCUGAUUCAGAAUCUCAUAAACAAUGGAGGAACAAACACAUAUUCACACACAUAUAAAUCCCUAAACAGAAAAAAUAAAAAAUAAAAAAAAAACCAUGAAAGUCAUAGGAGAAUCAAAUUGAUUUGGGCCAAAAUUGCCUAAAAAGAAAACACUCCUAAAUAAACUUCAAUUCACUUUUAAAAACAGUAAAACAUGAUUGAAUCAUUCUUUAAAACAAUUCCCUAAUAUACAUGCAUGAUAAUGACAUCAUUUACCCCUGAAUCAAAUGCCUUUCACUGGUCAAGCCACAAGUCUGUGUUUUGGGAAUUGCUGAGCUGCAUCAAUCCUGCCAAUGUAAAUUCUGCCCCUAGGCUCUCUCAAAGUGCGUUUACAACCUAUGCUAACAUAUACUAGAGUUUGUUUUAGUAUCUAGAAAAUGCCAACACUAAUUUCGUAACACGUAGAAAUUGUUACAUAUUGGAAGUUUUUAUCAUUUUUUCUUCCAGUCUCUCCACCACUCACUAAUACAGAUUACUCAUGUGAUGAGUUUACAAAACAUAUUUCUCUACUCCCACAAAGACCAUACUUUUUCUCAAAAGACUAUAUCACUUUAUCUCUAUCUUUGUGAAAUGUAAAAAGUUGAAACUUUAAUGUCAAACCUCGACAAAAGAUGAACAUCCAUCAUCAAUUACAUUGAAUUUGAAUUUGUUGAACUUAAGUAGUUUUACUUCUCUGUCAGCGUUUGAUGACUUGAUUUGUUAUUUACUUCUUCUUUUUUCCUUGGAAAUGUGUUCCAUCAACGUGAGGAAGAAAAAUAUGCACAAAUUAAUAUAUUUAAUAGAAGCAAAAAUUAAUAUUUACAAAAAUAUGCACAAAUCAAGUAAAAUUAAUAAAGCAUAAAUUGGAAAGGGAAAAUAUGUAGAGGAUGCAUUGUAGGAUUGCUCAUGCCAAUAAUUGUACCCUCUAAAUAUAUAGGGACAUAUUUUUUUUUGUUUUCAUGACAUGUGGUCCUAAAAUUAUUGUUCUUAGCGGGCUCUCCACCCCUCUCGACUGAAAACCUAUUGUGUAAAUCUUCAAUCCUGAAUGAUGCACCUAAAACUCAUGUUGCAAUACACAUCCACCCAUUCUCAGGCCAAUUAUUACUCCUAGUGGGCUCUCCACCCCCUCUCAAAUUUAAGUGGUCCAUUAUUAUUAACCGUAUAUUUUAUGGACCAGCCAGCUGUGAGGUUUUAUCUCAAAAACCUUUCUCCCACAUGCCACAAUUUAUGUCUGAUACAUCACAUCAUGCCAGUUGUCUCAAAUGAAUUUAAGUGAGUGAGGCAGUGUUACUUCUGGGUACCCCUCAUUAUUCGUCUAUAAAUUGGUGAAGCCAGUUGCUACUGUUACCAUAAGAGCCAGCUCCGACUUUCAAAAUAAAAAUUCCAACAACGGUCUUAGUGCCUUCAAUUGUAUGAGUCAUUGAACAUGCAAAUGAAUAAAAUAUGAAUGAUAAAAGUGUUUGAUAAAUCACCAAGUUAUAGAACACUUGAUGAUUUAUCUCAAAUAAAAAUUCAGCUUUCUAAAGUUUGUGAAUUGAAAAUAUAAUCGUUAAAGCUCUCUAAACAAAGAAGACGAAAGUCUUAUUUUAUAGAAUUUUUCUUUACAAGAAAGAAAACAUGUUGAAAACCAAAUCUCCAAUUUCCAAGGCUUGACAGAAAAUCAAAAAAAUAUCUUUCCUAUUCUAGAGAUUGGUCACAUGUAGUUCAACCAAUAGGAAAUGAGAUAUUUAAGAAAGCAAGAUUUUGAUCAAUACCAAUAUCAAAUGAAUUCUUAUACGCCUAGUCAACUAUUAAGGGUAUCUUGACUCCUUGAUAUUGUGAUAUGAUUGAAACAUGAUUUCCAUGUUAGAAAAUUAAGGGGAUGUUAAAACAUGAAAGUAAUAGGAGAAUCAAAUUGAUUUGGACUAAAAUUGCCUAAAAAGAAAACACUCUUAAAUAAACUUCAAUUCACUUUUAAAAACAGUAAAACAUGAUUGAAUCAUUUUUUAAAACAAUUCCCUAAUAUACAUGCAUGAUAAUGACAUCACUUACCCCUAAAUCAAAUUGUCACGCCCCGGACCUGGGGGUCAGUGGAAACCCCACGUUCGGUGCGUGAGAAAAUAAAAAGUAAAAUAAAAUAAAAAGAAUGCCGAAACAAGGGUUUAAAAUAAACUUCUCUUAUAAAAAUAACUCCAAAAUCUUACAACUUUACAAGAAAUAAAUAAAGCCCUAUCAUUCUUAUCUAAUUCAGCCUCAACUGGUUUAGUCCUUGUCUUGCCCACUAAUUCAUCUAAAAAAUGAAGAGUGUUGCUAAACGAACCCUAAAAUUAAUUGAGUACACCCUACUACCAAACGAUUUAUUGAAUUUGUCACAUCUCGGGAUCAACUCCGCCGUAGCACGAUAUUGUUCGCUUUGGGCCCUCCCUCUCUGGCUCGCAUGGUUUUGUUUCUGGGAACUCACGAGUAACUUCCCAGUGGGUCACCAAUCCUGGGAUUGCUCUAGCCCACAACUCGCUUAACUUCGGAGUUCCUACGACUCCGAAGCCUGUGAGCUCCCAAAAGGUCUCGUGCUAGAUGGAUGCGGGUGUGCACAUAUAAGGCACAUCACCCCCUCUCCGUUGGUUGAUGUGGGAUCUUAUAGAAUUACUAAUUUAUCCUAAUAUAAAAUGACCAAAGAAGAUAAAAUAAUAUUGGUAUCUAUUGCUUUGAAUCCAUGCCUUCAAACAAAUUGACUUAAUUUUUAACAAACAACACGGAGUCCAGGAGAAGUGUAUUGAUCCAAGUUGAUUUUUGUAUGCGUAAAACUUAAACAAUCAAUAACACAAAGCAGUUCAUGCUGAAAUAUUGGAAACCCACACCCAAAGAGUUCUCCGCUGCGAGGUUGAAGGCAGGAGAGAUGGGUGACAGAUUUUACUUCCACUGCGAAGUUGGAGGCUAGGAGAGUCUGUGACUGCCAUGGUUGAGGGAGAAGAUGCGUUCAAAAUGCCUAUUGAUAUUUUACAUUAUUGGCUUUUUUCAAAAGUGAAAGUUUUUUUAUGGGUAAAACCUAAAUUUACUUUUUCUAUACAAGUUAACAGUGUUUGUGUAUUGUGAAAAGGUGGAGAGACGUGUCAAAAUUUUAGACAAAGGACAGGAGGAGAUAGGGAAUUUGGGGACAGCAGAUCUCAACUCCCUUGAGACCCUAUUCUCUACGCCACCCCUCCCCCUCAACAACCCUAGUCACCAUUUCUCCUUCAACUCCAACGGCAACUCAUUAAAACCCAAUUCUCAAAUGCAACAAUCUAAUCCCAAUCCCAAUUCAGAUGUUUCUAAAAAACCCAUUGUCGUGGUGGAGAACUGCAAUUCCAGGUGGUGGUGGUGGUACCACAUGGGAGAGAGAAAAAAGAAGAAGAAGAAGCAGGAGAGAGAGAGUUUUUUAUUUUAUUAUUAUUUUACUGUAAUUUUUUAAUUUAAAUAAUUAAAAAAAUUAAAAGUUAAAGAGGAUGUACCAUGGGUAUUUUUGGUAGUUAAAUAAGGUGUACUUAGGGUCAGUUUGGCAUUGCUGUGCUGUGAAAAUAAUAGCUGUCAGAUUUGCUGUGAGAGAAAUCAGCUGUGAGAGAAAUCAGUUUGGCGUUUGAUAAAAUUUUUGUUAAAAGUGUGUUGAUAUUGAUUUUAUGCUUAAUCCGAAAAUGAUUGCUGCAUAAUCAUUAAACCCAGCGCCUCUUCGAAACUGAUUCCUAUAUAAUCAGAAAAUGAAAGCACCUCAUUAGCUGCUUUCCUUUAUAGCUUUCUCUCACAGCAAUUUUUAACAAUAAGUGAUUUUCUCACAGUUUACCAAACGGGUUGGGCUUCUCAAAAUUUUUUAAAAAUCACUUAUUACCCCAAAUAAGCAAUACCAAACGGGCACUUAGUUAAUUUUACAUUUUAAUUUAAACAUUAGGGUGUACUCAGUUAAUUUUAGGGUUCGUUCAGCAGCACUCAAAAUUAAACAAGGUGAGGGAUGAGCAAGUAGGGACAUGAGACAUUGCCACAGUAGAUUGAUAUAACUAAAUAUUAUUAUAAACAUAGAAAUAUAUAAGUAUUAUUAUAAUAGGAUUCAUAAUAAUUAAUAUAAAAGUAUAACAACAAUAUUUACAUUUAUGUACCAAGAUAAUUACACAUAUAAAUAUAACCAAUAUAUAUUUUUAUAUAUUUUAAAAUAUAAGUCUUUACGUAAAUGCCUUUCACGGGUCAAGCCACAAGUCUGUGUUUUGGGGAUUGCUGAGCUGCAUCAAUCCUGCCAAUGUCAAUUCUGCCCCUGAGCUCUCUCAAAGCACGUUUAAAACCUAUGCUAACAUAUACUAGAGUUUAUGCUGUAUCUAGAAAAUGCCAACACUAAUUUCGUAACACGUAGAAAUUGUUAGAGAUUGGAAGUUUUUAUCAUUUUUUCUUCCAGUCUCUCCACUACUUAUUAAUACAGAUUACUCAUGUGAUGAGUUUACAAAACCUAUUUCUCUACUCUCGCAAAGACUAAACUUCUUCUCAAAAGACUAGAUCACUUUACCUCUAUCUCUGUGAAAUGUAAAAAGUUGAAACUUUAAUGUCAAACCUCGACAAAGUGUUCUACUUUACAAACUUCUUGUGUCUACCAAUUUGUACUAAAAUUAAUUUCUCUACAGUGCUCAGAUUCAUCAUAUGUGUGUCCUUAAUUUUAGUGGAAAUUGGAAGUUUCCAUAAUUUUUGCUUUAAGUCACUCUUCUGAAGGAAGUUGAGGUUCCACUUCAUAAUCCAAAAUGUCAGGUUGACUUAUGGCAAACAAUGUAAAUAUGUAGGAGUACUAUGACCUUUUAUAGCAUUUUUAGUUUGAAUUUGGGUUUUAUACAUAGAUUUCAAAAUUAAUAGGUUGAUGCCUAGGAAAUAGAAAUUGUAAGGGCCUAUAUUAGAGUAGCCCUCUUAAAAAUAAUAUUAAUUAAUGAAUAUUUGUUCUUCUUGUUGUUUUGAAGUAGUGGUGGGAGGCAGACCAACAAAAAAAAAAUAUAGUGAAGGCUUAUAAGAGCAUUUACAAUCAUGCUCCCUAUUUUUUAGUUAAAAUUUAGCUAAAAAUAGAAAAAAAGUUAUUAUAGGAGCUCUUUAUAAAGCUCCUUUAUAAAAUUUGAACUCCAAUCAUACUCCCUAGUUUAGGGAGUCAAAAAUACUAUAGUUAUUUUUUAAUUCAAUUUGAUUUUGGUUAAUCUCUAUAAAUAUGAAAAAAUAGUUAGCAUUAAUUAAAAGUUUAAACUAUGCAUAAAACAAAGAAACAUUAAAUUAUAGGGAGCCACUAUGAGUCAUUACUCUCUCCUCAGAUUUAGGAGCUCCUAAAGGUCUCCCUAUUUUAUGAGGUGGAUAAGGAGCAUGGUUGGAGUUGUAUUUCUUCAAUUUCCUCCCUAAAAUUUGUCUAAGGAUGUGGUUUAGGGAGCCCAUUGUGAAUGCUCUAACUCUGGUAAAACACGAGUGACAUGGACAACAUAUGUUACGUCGUACUGAAGAUUUUUGGGUUUCUUUAAUUGGUUAAGUAGCAUCCACACAGCUUCCUAAAUCAUCUCCUUAGACAAAUUUUAGGGAGGAAUUGGAAAAGUACAACUCCAACUAUGCUCCCUAUCCACCAACUAAAAUAGGGAGACUUCUAGGAGCUCCUAAAUCUGAUGAGAGAGAAAGGACUCUUAAUGACUCCCUAUAAUUUAAUGUUGCUUUAUAUUAUUUUGUAUACAGACGGGUCAAUUAUAUUAAAUUAAAAAAUAAUUAAAGUAUUUAUGACUCUCUAAACUAGUGAGCAUAAUUGUAGAUCAUCUUAUAUACCUUAAUUUGAAGAUUCUUUAUUUGGGUUUCUUUCAAGACUUAUCACCUUAGCCACGCCACCUACACGUCUGCAAGCUUUCCUAACAAGGAAGGGGAGGCUGCGCAAUACUUAUCACCUUAGCCACACUACACCAAAUUGACGUCUGCAAGCUUUCGUAAUCUAACAAGGAAGGGGAGGCUGCGCAAUACUUAUCACCUUAGCCACACCAACACCACAAGACCAAUAUGUGUAGUCCAGGAGGCUUUCCCAUUUUAAUAUAUAUUAUCAAAUAAAAUAAAAAUCAAUCUAUUAUCAUAUAUAUUAUAAAAUAAAGAUUAUUGCUCCAUCCUCCAUGCACUUGCAUGCCUCUUACAAAGUGUGAAGUAGAUUUUGUGUGCUCCAAGUCAUUGACGAGAGCUGUAACAUGGUUAGCUGGAUUUAUAAGAUCUUUUCUUUUCUGGGAAUUUUCUGAAUCAAGAAAAAUUAAGUAAAAUUAAUAAAGCAUAAAUUAGAAAGGAAAAAUAUCUAGAGGAUGCAUUGUAGGAUUGCACAUGCCAAUAAUUGUAUCCUCUAAAUAUAUAGGGACAUAUUUUUUUGUUUUCAUGACAUGUGGCCCUAAAAUUAUUGUUCCUAGCGGGCUCUCCACCCCCUCUCGAUUGAAAACUAAUUGUGUAAAUCUUCAAUCUUGAAUGAUGCACCUAAAACUCAAGUGUCCCAGGCCAAUUAUUGCUCUCAUACCACUUGUUGUAAUAAACAUCCAUCCAUUCUAAAGGAAAGAUAACCAUCGAUAUUAUCUCAAAUUUAACCACUUAAGUUCAUUAUGAUUAACUAUGUAUCUUAUGGACCAAUCCAAUCAUGAGGUUUUAUACCCAAUUAGAUCGACUAAUACAAAGUUCACACGUGGAUUGAAAAGCGCUAUCAGUAGGGGAGUGUUCGGCACCCUUUACUGCCGAACGCAACACAAGACCCCUUGCAUGCCUUCACUAAGUUGAGCCUAUCUAUUUUUUAGCAUUAACAAUAUAUAUAGAUUGAAAAAAUAAAAUAAAAAUCAAUCUAUUAUCAUAUAAAAUAAAUAUUAUUGCUCCAUCCUCCAUACACUUGCAUGCCCUCUUACAAAGUGUGAAGUAGAUUUUUUGUGCUCCAACUCAUUGACUAGGGCUGAAACAUGGUUAGUUGGAUUUAUAAGAUCUUUUCUUUUCUGGGAAUUUUCUGAAGCACGGAAAAUCAAAUAAAAUUAAUAAAGCAGAAACUGUACCCUUUAAUUAUAUAUGGACGUAUGUUUUUUUGUUUUCAAGUCUUAGAUGACAUGGGGACCUAAAAUUAUUGCUCCUAGUGGACUCUCGACCCCUCUCAAAUUUAAGUGGUCCAUUAUUAUUAACCACAUAUUUUAUGGACCAUGCAGCUGUGAGGUUUUAUCUCAAAAACCUUCGGUACAUUUCUCCCACAUGCCACAAUUGUAUAUUCACAAUUACGGCUGUUACGUCACAUCAUGCCACUUGCCUCACAUGCAACAAGUCUGUGUUUUGGGGAUUGCCGAGCUGCAUCAAUUCUGCCAAUGUCAAUUCUGCCCCUGGACUCUCUCAAAGCACAUUUAAAACCUAUGCGAACAUAUAUUAGAGUUUAUGAUGUAUGUAUCUAGAAAAUGCCAACACUAAUUUCGUAACAUGUAAAAAUUAUUAGAGAUUGGAAGUUUUUAUCAUUUUUUCUUCCAGUCUCUCCACCACUUAUUAAUACAGAUUACUCAUGUGAUGAGUUUACAAAACCUAUUUCUCUACUCUCGCAAAGACUAAACUUCUUCUCAAAAGACUAGAUCACUUUACCUCUAUCUCUGUGAAAUGUAAAAAGUUGAAACUUUAAUGUCAAACCUCGACAAAGUGUUCUACUUUACAAACUUCUUGUGUCUACCAAUUUGUACUAAAAUUAAUUUAUCUACGGUGCUCAGCUUCAUCGUAUGUGUGUCCUUAAUUUUAGUGGAAAUUGGAAGUUUCCAUAAUUUUUGCUUUAAGUCACUCUUCUGAAGGAAGUUGAGGUUCCACUCCAUAAUCCCAAAUGUCAGGUUGACUUAUGGCAAACAAUGUAAAUAUGUAGGAGUACUAUGACCUUUUAUAGCAUUUUUAGUUUGAAUUUGGGUUUUAUACAUAGAUUUCAAAAUUAAUAGGUUGAUGCCUAGGAAAUAGAAAUUGUAAGGGCCUAUAUUAGAGUAGCCCUCUUAAAAAUAAUAUUAAUUAAUGAAUAUUUGUUCUUCUUGUUGUUUUGAAGUAGUGGUGGGAGGCAGACCAACAAAAAAAAUAUAGUGAAGGCUUAUAAGAGCAUUUACAAUCAUGCUCCCUAUUUUUUAGUUAAAAUUUAGCUAAAAAUAGAAAAAAGUUAUUAUAGGAGCUCUUUAUAAAAUUUGAAUUCCAAUCGUACUCCCUAAUUUAGGGAGUCAUAAAUAUUAUAGUUAUUUUUUAAUUCAAUUUGAUUUUGGUUAAUCUCUAUAAAUAAAUAAAAAUAUGAAAAAAUAGUUAGCAUUAAUUAAAAGUUUAAACUAUGCAUAAAACAAAGAAACAUUAAAUUAUAGGGAGCCACUAUGCCAAUAAUUGUAUCCUCUAAAUAUAUAGGGACAUAUUUUUUUUGUUUUCAUGACAUGUGGCCCUAAAAUUAUUGUUCCUAGCGGGCUCUCCAACCCCUCUCGAUUGAAAACCAAUUGUGUAAAUCUUCAAUCUUGAAUGAUGCACCUAAAACUCAAGUGUCCCAGGCCAAUUAUUGCUCUCAUACCACGUGUUGUAAUAAACAUCCAUCCAUUCUAAAGGAAAGAUAACCAUCGAUAUUAUCUCAAAUUUAACCACUUAAGUUCAUUAUGAUUAACUAUGUAUCUUAUGAACCAAUCCAAUCGUGAGGUUUUAUACCCAAUUAGAUCGACCAAUACAAAGUUCACACGUGGAUUGAAAAGCACUAUCAAUAGGGGAGUGUUCGGCACCCUUUACUGCCGAGCGCAACACAAGAUCCCUUGCAUGCCCUCACUAAGUUGAGCCCAACUAUUUUUUAGCAUUAACAAUAUAUAUAGAUUGAAAAAAUAAAAUAAAAAUCAAUCUAUUAUCAUAUAUUUUAUAAAAUACAUAUUAUUGCUCCAUCCUCCAUACACUUGCAUGCCCUCUUACAAAGUGUGAAGUAGAUUUUUUGUGCUCCAACUCAUUGACUAGGGCUGAAACAUGGUUAGUUAGAUUUAUAAGAUCUUUUGUUUUUUGGGAAUUUUCUGAAGCAAGGAAAAUCAAAUAAAAUUAAUAAAGCAGAAACUGUACCCUUUAAUUAUAUAUGGACAUAUGUUUUUUUGUUUUUUUGCUCUCGACCCCUCUCAAAUUUAAGUGGUCCAUUAUUGUUAACCACAUAUUUUAUGGACCAUCCAGCUUCGGUACAUUUCAAAAAGCUUCGGUACAUUUCUCCCACAUGACACAAUUGUAUAUUCACAAUUACUUCUGGGUACCCCUCAUCAGUCGUCUAUAAAAUGGUGAAGCCAGUUGCUACUGUUACCAUAAGAGCCAGCUCCGACUUUCUUUAAUUUCUUGCUACAUCUGUUGCUAAGUUAAUUUCAGUCCUAAUGGGGUUUCAUCUCCCACUCAUCUUUGCUAUUCUCAGUGUAAGCUCUGCAAUUUGAUUAACUUUUCCAUUCUCUCUCAUUGUACUCUAUAUAUAUAAAUGAAAGUUUUGUGUUCCUAUAAUUCUCUCCGAUUUUAUUUAGUACGUACUUAAGUGUCGUCCACUAAUUAAUUACACUUUGUGAGAUUUGAUUUUAAUUAGAGUUCGAAUUAAUGUUGCAGCUAGCAGCGGUUGCACUGGCAAACAAUGCUGCUCAACCAGCACCUCAACUUUACUGGAACUCCGUCCUGCCAAACACACAGAUGCCAAGAUCUAUCAGUGAACUUCUGCAUCCUGGUUUGUGUUCAGCUCUUUAUAAUCUUAGAUAUCUCUUCUACCUGCCAUUUUACUAAAAUAUGUUCGACCACAUAUUUAUCAGCUAACUACUGUGAUUACAAGAAUGACACUUAUUUUCCAAUAUAAUUUGCAGACUCCACAAAUGAAGAAAAGAGCAAACCUGAAAUUUUCCCAUUGCAGGGCAAUAGAGUUUACACUCAAAGCCAUUAUAAAAAACGUCCUCCUCCUCCAUCUGACGAGGGCAAACCUGAAACUUUCCCAUUGGGCAAUAGCCAUUACACUCAAACCCGUUAUAAAAAACGUCCUCCUCCUCCAUCUGACGAGGGCAAACCUGAAAAUUUCCCAUUGGGCAAUAGCCAUUACACUCAAACCCGUUAUAAAAAACGUCCUCCUCCUCCAUCCGACGAGGGCAAACCUGAAAAUUUCCCAUUGGCCAAUAGCUUUUACACUCAAACCCGUUAUAAAAAACGUCCUCCUCCUCCAUCUGACGAGGGCAAACCUGAAAAUUUCCCAUUGGCCAAUAGCUUUUACACUCAAAGCCAUUAUAAAAAACGUCCUCCUCCUCCAUCUGACGAGGGCAAACCUGAAAAUUUCCCAUUGGCACGUUCUCCUCCAUCUGACAGUCAACUAAAGCAUUACAAAGACUUAGCUAUUUUCUUCUUCGAGAAGGACAUGCGCCCGGGCACAACUAUGAAGUUCCAAUUCCCUAGAAAUUCAAACACGGCUACUUUCCUGCCACGCGAAAGUGCUCAAUCGAUCCCCUUCUCCUCUAAGAAACUACCAGAAAUUUUCAACCAUUUUUCAGUGAAGCCAACAUCUGAGGAAGCCAAAACAAUUAAGCAAACAAUCGAAGAGUGUGAAGCUCCAGGCCUUAAGGGAGAGGAAAAAUAUUGCGCCACAUCUUUAGAAUCAAUGGUUGAUUUUAGCACUUCGAAGCUUGGAACAAGAAACGUUGAAGCAAUCUCAACGGAGGUAUUGGAAGAAGGAGCCACCAAGUACAUGCACAACUAUACAACAAUGCCGGGACUGAAGAAGUUGGAAGGUGACAAAGUCGUUGUGUGUCAUAAGGAGAACUAUCCCUAUGCUGUGUUUCUCUGCCAUGCAAUAAAACAAACAGAAGCUUAUGUUCUCUCCCUGAAAGCCGAUGAUGGGAUGAAGGUGAAAGCAGUAACCAUCUGCCAUCUAGACACAUCAGAAUGGGACCCAGAGCAUUUGUCCUUCCAAAUCCUCAACGUUAAGCCCGGAACCACUCCCAUCUGCCAUUUCCUUACCACUGAUGCUAUUGCCUGGGUUCCAAAACACAAAUCUGCAUGAUCAUCACUUAGCACUGUACGUGUAAUAAGCUUGGUCGGGUUGCACCCUAGGCCUGCAUAAUUAUCUCCCUACUUAUUUCUGCCUCUUCAUCAUGCGGUGUAAGAUAUAUGAUGAGAUGAAGUUUUCUCUUGUAACUAUGUAGACUACUUCAACUUGUACUCAUAAUAAAGCACG